This 81975-nucleotide long non-coding RNA is filed under the name Brassica napus (rape). Its description in RNAcentral is "long non-coding RNA (BNAP_LNC022884)". The record is from RNAcentral. Lineage: Eukaryota; Viridiplantae; Streptophyta; Magnoliopsida; Brassicales; Brassicaceae.
AUUCCCAAACAGAAAAACUGGGAUCACCUGAUUUGAAAGUGGGAUAACUUCUUCAUCCUAAUUCCUAUGAGAUUUAUUCCACUUCCUGGUGAUUCACCACUUCUUUAUGUAUCCAAAUAUAGCUUCUUACAUCGCGAUUCAUUCUGCUUUGAUUAGAAUGACGAGGAAGUUGCCAUAUUUCCAAAUAGGAAAACUGGGAUCACCUGAUUUGAAAGUGGGAUAACUUCUUCAUCCUAAUUCCUAUGAGAUUUAUUCCACUUCCUGGUGAUUCACCACUUCUUUAUGUAUCCAAAUACAUAUUCUUACAUCACGAUUAAUCCUGGUUUGAUUAGAAUGACGAGGAAGUUGUCAUAUUCCCAAACAGGAAAACUGGGAUCACCUGAUUUGAAAGUGGGAUAACUUCUUCAUCCUAAUUCCUAUGAGAUUUAUUCCACUUCCUGGUGAUUCUCCACUUCUUUAUGUAUCCAAAUAACUUCUUCAUCUUAAUUCCUAUGAGAUUUAAUUCACUUCCUGGUGAUUCUCCACUACUUUAUGUAUCCAAAUAAUGCUUCUUACAUCGCGAUUCAUCCUGAUUUGAUUAGAAUGACGAGGAAGUUGUCAUAUUCCCAAACAGGAAAACUGGGAUCAGCUGAUUUGAAAGUGGGAUAACUUCUUCAUCCUAAUUCCUAUGAGAUUUAUUCCACUUCCUGGCGAUUCUCCACUUCUUUAUGUAUACAAAUACAUCUUCUUACAUCGCGAUUCAUCCUGGUUUGAUUAGAAUGACGAGGAAGUUGUCAUAUUUCCAAAUAGGAAAACUGGGAUCACCUGAUUUGAAAGUGGGAUAACCUCUUCAUCCUAAUUCCUAUGAGAAUUAUUCCACUUCCUGGUGAUUCUCCACUUCUUUUUGUAUACAAAUACAUCUUCUUACAUCGCGAUUCAUCCUGGUUUGAUCAGAAUGACGAGGAAGUUGUCAUAUUCCCAAACAGGAAAACUGUGAUCACCUGAUUUGAAAGUGGGAUAACUUCUUCAUCCUAAUUCCUAUGAGAAUUAUUACACUUCCUGGUGAUUCUCCACUUCUUUAUGUAUCCAAAUAUAGCUUCUUACAUAGCGAUUCAUCCUGGUUUGAUCAGAAUGACGAGGAAGUUGUCAUAUUUCCAAAUAGGAAAACUGGGAUCACCUGAUUUGAAAGUGGGAUAACUUCUUCAUCCUAAUUCCUAUGAGAAUUAUUCCACUUCCUGGUGAUUCUCCACUACUUUUUGUAUACAAAUACAGCUUCUUACAUCGCGAUUCAUCCUGGUUUGAUUAGAAUGACGAGGAAGUUGUCAUAUUCCCAAACAGGAAAACUGGGAUCACCUGAUUUGAAAGUGGGAUAACUUCUUCAUCCUAAUUCCUAUGAGAAUUAUUCCACUUCCUGGUGAUUCUCCACUACUUUAUGUAUCCAAAUACAGCUUCUUACAUCGCGAUUCAUCCUGGUUUGAUUAGAAUGACGAGGAAGUUGUCAUAUUCCCAAACAGGAAAACUGGGAUCACCUGAUUUGAAAGUGGGAUAACUUCUUCAUCCUAAUUCCUAUGAGAAUUAUUCCACUUCCUGGUGAUUCUCCACUACUUUAUGUAUCCAAAUACAGCUUCUUACAUCGCGAUUCAUCCUGGUUUGAUUAGAAUGACGAGGAAGUUGUCAUAUUCCCAAACAGGAAAACUGGGAUCACCUGAUUUGAAAGUGGGAUAACUUCUUCAUCCUAAUUCCUAUGAGAAUUAUUCCACUUCCUGGUGAUUCUCCACUACUUUUUGUAUACAAAUACAGCUUCUUACAUCGCGAUUCAUCCUGAUUUGAUUAGAAUGACGAGGAAGUUAUCAUAUUCCCAAACAGGAAAACUGGGAUCACCUGAUUUGAAAGUGGGAUAAUUCUUCAUCCUAAUUCCUAUGAGAAAUAUUUCACUUCCUGGUGAUUCUCCACUACUUUUUGAAUCCAAAUAUAGGUUCUUACAUCCCGAUUCAUCCUGGUUUGAUCAGAAUGACGAGGAAGUUGUCAUAUUCCCAAACAGGAAAACUGGGAUCACCUUAUUUGAAAGUGGGAUAACUUCUUCAUCCUAAUUCCUAUAAGAAUUAUUCCACUUCCUGGUGAUUCUCCACUACUUUUUGUAUACAAAUACAGCUUCUUACAUCGCGAUUCAUCCUGAUUUGAUUAGAAUGACGAGGAAGUUGUCAUAUUCCCAAACAGGAAAACUGGGAUCACCUGAUUUGAAAGUGGGAUAACUUCUUCAUCCUAAUUCCUAAGAAAACUGGGAUCACCUGCUUUGAAAAUGAGAUAACUUCUUCAUCCUAAUUCCUAUGAGAUUUAUUCCACUUCCUGGUGAUUCUCCACUUCUUUAUGUAUCCAAAUACAUUUUCUUACAUCGCGAUUCAUCUUGGUUUGAUUAGAAUGACGAGGAAGUUGUCAUAUUCCCAAACAGGAAAACUAGGAUCACCUGAUUUGAAAGUGGGAUAACUUCUUCAUCCUAAUUCCUGUGAGAUUUAUUCCACUUCCUGGUGAUUCUCCACUUCUUUAUGUAUCCAAAUACAUCUUCUUACAUCGCGAUUAAUCCUGGUUUGAUUAGAAUGACGAGGAAGUUGUCAUAUUCCCAAACAGAAAAACUGGGAUCAUAAUGAGAUCCUAGGACUCUUCUCUGGAUGGUAUGGAUAGAUCCUUGCAUAAACGAAUCAAAGACUCAAGUUUAUCAAGGUUGUGGAUCGAAUGGUGACACAAGAGGCUGCGGAGAGGCUUCUUGAUACUCCUAGGCUUAGAUCGGAUAUGACACACCUUUCUAAAGCCCUUGGGCGUUGGAUAUUACACACCAACAGACUGGAUAUUACACACCAGACACUCUCUUAACUUGUGAAAGCAAGGGAGAAGAAAACACAAAGGUUUAAGUGAAAGAAAACUUGAUAGAUGCUAGGGUUGCCGUCACACACAUAUAUAUAGUGAAAGGCUUGGAACAGGCUCCAAGCAUUUCGAAAUUAAAGGAACAGGCUCCUCCAAUUAAUGUAGAAACAAAGACAUAACUUAGAUAGAGUUUUCGAAAAUAAAAGACAUAAGUACUUAGAAGUAAAAGAUAACAUAAGGUUCUUCAUGUGGUUUGAUCCGAGAGUAUCAACUAGGUGAUAUGAUAGCAAGACUAUGGCCUCGUUAAAAACCUAUCAUUGCAAAACCCAAUGGGACAAAAACAAUGUUAGGAAAAGAGCACACAUAGCUUGCUAGCCUAGAUGAUACUCAGCUUGGUGGUAAGAUGGCUUGAAUGGUGAUAAGUGUAUCUUGAAGUAUCAAGCUUCCUCCAAGACAUUCUUCUUGAUCCAAAGACUUCCUGAUUAGUCCUCCAAUAGCUUCUUUGAGUUUCCUGGCUCUGGCUCGAGUUAUGGGACCUUUAGGAAUGGCUAAGACAUCAUCUUCUUCAGCCGGUUCAUCUCUAAACUCUCCAUCUCUAUCUCCAUAAGCUGGCUGGUCCAUGAUCAUAUCAUCCCCUCCCUCUUGAAAAGGAUUUGACCUCAAAUUAGGUUCAUCUGCAAUAAAAGGGAUCAAGUCAGUAACAUUGAAGCUAUUACUCACAUCAUACUUACCUUGGAGAUCAAUCUUGUAGGCAUUGUUGCUGAUCUUCUUUGUGAUCUCAAAAGGUCCAUCAAUUCUCGGCAUAAGCUUUGACUUCCUCUCAUUAGGAAACCUUUCUUUUCUCAAAUGAACCCAAACUUUGUCACCCUCCUUAAAGACCAUCUCACGCCUUCCUUUGUUGGCAUGCUUGACAUACUGCUUAGUUUUCUCUUCAAUGUUGAGCCUAGCUUGCUCAUGGAGUUGCUUCACCAUCUCUGCCUUCUUGUUGCCAUCCAAACUGACCCUUUCACACUCAGGUAAAGACUUAAGAUGAUCUAUAUGCUCUUUGAUAGUUUAAUGAUGUUAAGAGUAAUCUGAGUGUUUAGAGAAGAUUAGAAUGAGUUUAGAAAAGAUUAAAGUCUGAAAUAAGAUUUGGAGUCUAGAGAGAGUUUUAGAAAGACUAAGAGAGACUCAUAACUUGCUUAAUCUUAUUAAUGAGUGAGGUUACAUAUUUAUAAGAGAGACACAAGGGUUUACAAGAAGGGAACUGAGCACUAUUCAACCGUGUGGAGUCAAGGGCGCCUUUUGAAUGAUUGGUCAGGAUGGCUCACACGCUUAUGGCAUCUUGGACUAAAGGUGCUUCAGCUUUCCAGCCUGUUCCAGCCUGGCACCGCGUUCCCUUAUCCUCUCAACGGUCUGAUCCUCUCCCUAAGCUACCCAAGUCACUCCUCCUUAGUUACCGUCUCACUUGGAUAAGGUAUGGUAAGUUUUGGUUGAGGUUUGGAUGGUACGGCCUUGUACGGCCUAGUACGGCCUGCCGUACCAUACUCUCCCAAACUUCCCUAAGUACUUCAUCUCCUCUUCUCUUCAACUCCUUAUCUCUUCAUCUCCAUAUACUCAGCUCAUCUCAACACUCCCCCUCAAGCUUAGCUUUGUGAAAGACUAAGCUUGGACAGCCAUGAGAUCUUCCUCAUUAAAAACCUCACUAAGGAAAACCCAUUGGGACAAAACCUUAAUGAGGGAAAAAGAGUAAAGAUCUCAUGACUAAGGGGAUCAGCUGCUUCUCUUCCCAAGAUCAAUGAGGCCCAAUCUGAUAUGAAUGGACUCCAUUUUCUUUUGCCUUGCAGCCUUGGUGAAUACAUCAGCCAACUGAUCUUCACUCCUAGUAUAACAUGGCAAGAUGACUCCUAGGACAAUCAUCUGCCUCACCUUGUGGCAAUCAACCUCAAUGUGCUUUGUUCUCUCAUGGAACACCGAGUUGGAGGCUAUGUGAAUGGCGGCCUGGUUGUCACAAUGCAUUGUCAUUGGAGUGUCUUGUGCUAUCUCCAAAUGCUUCAAGAUGCCCUUGAUCCAAACUAGCUCGUUUGUAAGCUUCAGCAUGGCUCUAUAUUCAGCUUCUGCACUAGAGCAUGACACCACCUUCUGUUUCUUACUCUUCCAAGUCACCAAGUUGCCUCCAAUGAAUGUGCAAUAGCCGGUUGUUGAUCUUCUGUCAGCUCUAUCACCUGCCCAAUCAGCAUCACAAUAGCCCACCACUUCUGUGCUUCCAUUGCACCCCAUCCAUACACCUUGAUCCGGCGAGCCAUUUAGAUACAUCAGCAACCUCUCCACCAUACGCCAAUGAUGUUCCUUGGGAAGCUGCAUGUGUUGACUCACCUGAUUCACAGCAAAGCAUAUAUCAGGUCUUGUGAUGGUUAGAUAAAUCAAUUUUCCAACAAGUUUUCUAUAGAGUUUAGGAUCAUGAAAUGGCUUGCUGUCUUCAAUCUCCCCCUCUCUUGGUACUUUGUAGCCAUCCUCCGCUUGCUGUCUUCAAUCUCCCCCUCUCUUGGUACUUUGUAGCCAUCCUCCAUUGGCAUUCUUGCUGUCUUGCCUCCAUAAGCACCUGCAUCUUUCAAAAGAUCAAGUGUAUACUUCCUUUGGGACAUGAACAAACCUUCCUUGGAUCUACAAAUCUCAAUUCCAAGAAAGUAUUUCAUUUCUCCCAAGUCUUUUAUUUCAAACAUAGACUUUAGAAACUCCUUGGUUGCUUUGAUACCUUCUUUAUCACUUCCUGUGAUAAUGAUAUCAUCCACAUACACAAGGAGAGCAACCAUACCUGAGGGUGUAGUAAGGGUAAAGAGAGUAUGGUCCAAUUCUGACUUCCUAAAGCCUCGGCCAUUCAGAGUUGUGCUCAGCUUGUUGUACCAUGCUCUUGGUGAUUGCUUCAGCCCAUAGAUAGCCUUCUUUAACCUCAGUACAUUCCCUCUCUUCACUAGAUGUUCAAGACCUGGUGGAGGAUACAUAUAGACUUCAUCCUCAAGUUCUCCUUGUAGAAAUGCAUUCUUCACAUCCAUUUGCCACAAUCCCCAUCCAAGGUUCACAGCCAAGCUUAAAACAAUUCUAAUUGUGUGUAGCUUGGCUACUGGUGCAAAUGUCUCAAUGUAAUCCUCUCCAUAUGUCUGAGUAAACCCUCUUGCUACUAGUCUAGUUUUCUUCCUCUCAAUCGACCCAUCAGCCUUGUACUUGAUUGUAAAGAUCCAUCUACUAGACACUGCCUUCUUCCCUUUUGGUAGUUCACUCUCAUACCAUGUAUCAUUCUUUAUCAUAGCUCCUGCCUCAGCUCCUACUGAUUCCUUCCACUCCUUAUCCUCCAUUGCCUCUUCAUAGCUUCUUGGAAUGUGAUUCUCAUUCAAGUUUACCAUAAAUGCACAAUGUGCUUCUGGAUAUUGACUGAAAGAACACACGGCCUGAGUAGGAUGCUCCACAGCUUGGGCAUUGUAGUACACUCUCGUGUUUACCCAACUGGAAGGGUCCUUUCUCAGCCUUGUACUUCUUCUUAACAUUGGCCCUUCUUGUGCCAUCUCUUGUUCUUUUUCUUGUGACAACAUUUCGGAUCUUUCUUCUCCUAGCUGACUUGCUUCAGCUCCCUCUUCCCUUAGCUGAUCAUUAGCUUCUUCUUGUUGAUCAUCUGAUUCCACACCUUGAUCAUGAGAGCCAGAACUCUCUUCUCUACUUGUUUCUUCACGCUCAAGGUUUGGAGUUCUUGUUUCAUUCCCCCCUUCAUGCUCAAGGUUGGAAGUCUGAUGAUCCGGUGCUGGAGUUGUGCUUCUCCCCCCCUGAUGUCCUUGGUUCAUGUUGAUUCCAAGCCCUUCUAGGAUCAACCUCAAGGUUUCAGCUCUAUCAGAUGUAAGAUCCUUCAAAUCUUCUUGAAUCUGCUCUUCAUAAUAUCCUUUUUCUUCAACAAACUUUACUUCUCUAGAUACUAACACUCUCCUUGUGUUAGGAUCAUAGCACUUGUAUCCUUUCUGACUUGAUGAGUAUCCAAUGAACAUUGCCUUUGAACUCUUAGCUUCUAGCUUGUUUCUUAUCUCUCCAGGCACCAUCACAAAACACAAACAUCCAAAGAUCUUCAUAUGCUCGAGUGAAGAUUUGUACUGAUUCAAUACCUCAAAUGGUGAUUGUCCUUGAAGGAUCAGAGUUGGUGUCCUGUUGAUGAGAUAACAAGCCGUAGCAACUGCAUCACUCCAAAACUUCUUAGGCACAUUGGAUUGAAACAUCAUGGACCUGGCUACUUCCAUCAAGUGCCUGUUCUUCCUUUCAGCCACACCAUUCUGUUGUGGUGUAUAGGGACAGCUUGUCUGAUGAAGUAUUCCAUGUUGAGAUAGAUGUAGCUUGAAUGCUUGUCCUGUGUACUCUCCUCCAUUAUCUGACCUAAAAAUUUUUAUCUUGGCAUUGUAAUGGUUAGUCACAUAGGCUUGAAAGUUUUUAAAUGCAUCAAGUACCCUAUCUUUGGUUGGGAUUAAAGUUAACCAGGUGUAUUUGGAUUUUUCAUCAAUGAAAGUUACAUAGUACUUAUGAUUGUCUCUAGAAAGGCAAGGUGCAGUCCAAACAUCAGAAUGAAUAAGAUCAAAACAUUUUUCAUAAACAGUAGUAGACUUGGUAAAGACAGUUCUACAAUGCUUGCCUAAGAUGCAAGCUUCACACUCAUUAUUCUCAAAGGAAACACCUGGCAACAUCAGUUUUAAAGCCUUAUUAUGAGGGUGUCCUAAUCUAGCAUGCCACAAUGCAUUUUUACUUAAACUAGAACCAGAAACAGAAGUAAACGAGCAGCUAUAACUAGAAACAGGAGCAAGAUCUUUGAGCAAAUACAAUUCUCCUUUAGUCACUCCCUUUCCAAUCAUCUUGCUGCUUUUAAUAUCCUGAAACUUCACAUCAUUAGGACUGAAUAUGACAUUGCAUUGCAAAUCAGUAGCACAUUUCUUAACAGAUAACAAGUUUGAAGUAAAUUCAGGCAUACAAAAGGCUUUAGUCUCCUUACCAAACAGUUUAAGACUUCCUAUUCCUCUAAUAGGUAUCUUAUCUCCAUUAGCUAUCAUCACAUUACCAUUCAUUGGUACAAUGUCUUUAAUUAAACUAGUGUCACUUAUCAUAUGAUGAGAUGCACCAGAAUCAACUACUAAAGGCUUAAUGGUAUGUGACCUAGCAAUAUGAGCAAGGAUACUAGAUGGUUUGAAUACAUGAUCAUUCCUAGCAAAACUAGCCGUUCUAGAUUGGUUUAACAUCUCAAUCACACUUUCAUGCAUCCUAUCAGUUCUAGUUAGAUUCUCAUCAUUCUCUAUAGCCCUAGCACCAAAGGAAUAAGCAAAUGUGUUACCAUGCUCUUUAAAGAGCUUGAUGAGAGCAUCCAGGUCGGAUCUCCUUAGAUACUCUUGAUCAUAGUUCCCACGGUUGCUUGGGGCUCCAGUGUAGGCUACAAGAGACUUCCCAUCACCUCCUUCACGCCCAUCUAUCUCCUUUCCUUUGCUUGGACCAGCUCCACUCGUUCCAUCUGAUACAUUAGCCCUUGCCUCACGGUCCUUCAUCAACUUUGCCGGUUUGAGAUGUGGGUGAAGGAUCCAGCAUUGACUCUUCUUGUGGCCAUGCUUCUUGCAGUGAUCACAGUUCCCAUUGAACCUCCUCUCCUCAUACUUCCCAUGCGCAGCAGCCUUAUUUGCUUGUGUAGCUUCAUUCCCUUCCUCUUGAGUCGCUUGGCUUGCAAAGGAAAGGUCUCCUUUCUUGGCAAACAACCCAAUGGAGCCUUGCUCCUUCUGAAUCCGCGCACACACAUCCUCAAGGUCAGGUAGAGUGUCUUCUCUAAGCAGGUGCUGGAUGAGACCAUUAUAUGCCGGGUUGAGGGUGAGAAGUAGGCCAAAGACCUUGUCUUGCUCUCUUCUCUUGUUGAGCUCAUCUGCAUCUGUAGUGCUUGGCCUUAACAUCUCCAUCUCGGACCAUAGUGAUCUGAAUCUCCCAAGGUGUUUAGUGAACUCCAUAUCCUCUUGUACCAGGUUGUUAAUCGCUUGCUUCACCUCAAACACCCUGCUCAAGUUUGAUGUAUUCCCAUACACCUUCUUCAGUGUGUCCCACAGUUCCUUAGCAGACUCACAGUAGCUGUAGGCAUCUAAGAUUGCUGGCUCAAGGGAUGCGUGAAGCACUGACAUCACCAGCAUGUCCUCUUGAUACCACUUCUCAGCCGCGUUGCUUGCAGCCUCACCAUCAUCCUCUCCUUGAGUGAUGAGUUUUGGAGCUUCUCCGGGGUUGAUAUGCUUCCACAACCCCUUGCUUCCCACCGUGGUUCUCACCAUCCUUGACCAUACCAAGUAGUUGUUUCCCUUGAAACACACGGCUACCUUCAUGUUCAUGUUCAUCCCACUCUCCAUGUUGAAUGAUGAACUCUCUAAGCUUCAGGAACUCUAUCUUGAGUUGAAUGACUUGUAGAAACCCUCACAGCCUCGAUCUUCAACCCACGCAGCUUCAGAUAACACACCACAACUAGUCUUGAACUUGAAAAGUACCCGGAACCUCUCAAACACCCAAGAACACACAAGAGUUUCUUCAAAGCUUCAAACUUGUAACUUCAAAGAAUCUCACACGACCUCAGGCUCUCACUAACCUGGCUCUGAUACCAUGAUAGUUUUAAUGAUGUUAAGAGUAAUCUGAGUGUUUAGAGAAGAUUAGAAUGAGUUUAGAAAAGAUUAAAGUCUGAAAUAAGAUUUGGAGUCUAGAGAGAGUUUUAGAAAGACUAAGAGAGACUCAUAACUUGCUUGAUUGUAUUAAUGAGAGUGUUUACAACUUUAUAAGAGAAGAGACUAGGGUUUUCGUAGCUAAGAGGAUAAGGUAAGCAUGUGGAGUCAAUAGCCAUUUCAAACUCGUCCAAUGAGGUGAGCCGCGCGUGUGAGCCUUCAUUAGCUGGCUCAUACCUUUUGCUUUUCCGUGUCCAGCUGUGCCAGCCUGUCCAAGACUCUCCCUUAUCCUUUCCAACGGUCUGAUCCAUCCACAAAUGCCAAGGUAACUUCUCCUCUUUACUUAAGUAACUCGGAUAACUUAUGGUGAGGUUUGGUUGAGCUUUGGUCGAUCCUAUCUUGUACGGCCUGUCCUGUCAUGUACGGCCAUGUACGGCCUUGUACGGACAGGCUGAUCCCAAAGCUCCCAAACCUUCCUAUCCUUCCUCUUCUUCAUUCUACUCAACCCUCAUCUCCAUUCUUCACUUGACACUCUUCAUCUCAACACUCCCCCUCAAGCUUAGCUUUGUGAAAGACUAAGCUUGGACAGCCAUGAGAUCUUCCUCAUUAAAAACCUCACUAAGGAAAACCCAUUGGGACAAAACCUUAAUGAGGGAAAAAGAGUAAAGAUCUCAUGACUAAGGGGAUCAGCUGCUUCUCUUCCCAAGAUCAAUGAGGCCCAAUCUGAUAUGAAUGGACUCCUUUGUCUUUUGCCUUGCAGCCUUGGUGAAUACAUCAGCCAACUGAUCUUCACUCCUAGUAUAACAUGGCAAGAUGACUCCUAGGACAAUCAUCUGCCUCACCUUGUGGCAAUCAACCUCAAUGUGCUUUGUUCUCUCAUGGAACACCGAGUUGGAGGCUAUGUGAAUGGCGGCCUGGUUGUCACAAUGCAUUGUCAUUGGAGUGUCUUGUGCUAUCUCCAAAUGCUUCAAGAUGCCCUUGAUCCAAACUAGCUCGUUUGUAAGCUUAAGCAUGGCUCUAUAUUCAGCUUCUGCACUAGAGCAUGACACCACCUUCUGUUUCUUACUCUUCCAAGUCACCAAGUUGCCUCCAAUGAAUGUGCAAUAGCCGGUUGUUGAUCUUCUGUCAGCUCUAUCACCUGCCCAAUCAGCAUCACAAUAGCCCACCACUUCUGUGCUUCCAUUACACCCCAUCCAUACACCUUGAUCCGGCGAGCCAUUUAGAUACAUCAGCAGCCUCUCCACCAUAUGCCAAUGAUGUUCCUUGGGAAGCUGCAUGUGUUGAUUGAUCCGGCGAGCCAUUUAGAUACAUCAGCAACCUCUCCACCAUACGCCAAUGAUGUUCCUUGGGAAGCUGCAUGUGUUGUCUCACCUGAUUCACAGCAAAGCAUAUAUCAGGUCUUGUGAUGGUUAGAUAAAUCAAUUUUCCAACAAGUUUUCUAUAGAGUUUAGGAUCAUGAAAUGGCUUGCUGUCUUCAAUCUCCCCCUCUCUUGGUACUUUGUAGCCAUCCUCCAUUGGCAUCCUUGCUGUCUUGCCUCCAUAAGCACCUGCAUCUUUCAAAAGAUCAAGUGUAUACUUCCUUUGGGACAUGAACAAACCUUCCUUGGAUCUACAAAUCUCAAUUCCAAGAAAGUAUUUCAUUUCUCCCAAGUCUUUUAUUUCAAACAUAGACUUUAGAAACUCCUUGGUUGCUUUGAUACCUUCUUUAUCACUUCCUGUGAUAAUGAUAUCAUCCACAUACACAAGGAGAGCAACCAUACCUGAGGGUGUAGUAAGGGUAAAGAGAGUAUGGUCCAAUUCUGACUUCCUAAAGCCUCGGCCAUUCAGAGUUGUGCUCAGCUUGUUGUACCAUGCUCUUGGUGAUUGCUUCAGCCCAUAGAUAGCCUUCUUUAACCUCAGUACAUUCCCUCUCUUCACUAGAUGUUCAAGACCUGGUGGAGGAUACAUAUAGACUUCAUCCUCAAGUUCUCCUUGUAGAAAUGCAUUCUUCACAUCCAUUUGCCACAAUCCCCAUCCAAGGUUCACAACCAAGCUUAAAACAAUUCUAAUUGUGUGUAGCUUGGCUACUGGUGCAAAUGUCUCAAUGUAAUCCUCUCCAUAUGUCUGAGUAAACCCUCUUGCUACUAGUCUAGUUUUCUUCCUCUCAAUCGACCCAUCAGCCUUGUACUUGAUUGUAAAGAUCCAUCUACUAGACACUGCCUUCUUCCCUUUUGGUAGUUCACUCUCAUACCAUGUAUCAUUCUUUAUCAUAGCUCCUGCCUCAGCUCCUACUGAUUCCUUCCACUCCUUAUCCUCCAUUGCCUCUUCAUAGCUUCUUGGAAUGUGAUUCUCAUUCAAGUUUACCAUAAAUGCACAAUGUGCUUCUAGAUAUUGACUGAAAGAACACACGGCCUGAGUAGGAUGCUCCACAGCUUGGGCAUUGUAGUACACUCUCGUGUUUACCCAACUGGAAGGGUCCUUUCUCAGCCUUGUACUUCUUCUUAACAUUGGCCCUUCUUGUGCCAUCUCUUGUUCUUCUUCUUGUGACAACAUUUCGGAUCUUUCUUCUCCUAGCUGACUUGCUUCAGCUCCCUCUUCCCUUAGCUGAUCAUUAGCUUCUUCUUGUUGAUCAUCUGAUUCCACAGCUUGAUCAUGAGAGCCAGAACUCUCUUCUCUACUUGUUUCUUCACGCUCAAGGUUUGGAGUUCUUGUUUCAUUCCCCCCUUCAUGCUCAAGGUUGGAAGUCUGAUGAUCCGGUGCUGGAGUUGUGCUUCUCCCCCCCUGAUGUCCUUGAUUCAUGUUGAUUCCAAGCCCUUCUAGGAUCAACCUCAAGGUUUCAGCUCUAUCAGAUGUAAGAUCCUUCAAAUCUUCUUGAAUCUGCUCUUCAUAAUAUCCUUUUUCUUCAACAAACUUUACUUCUCUAGAUACUAACAUUCUCCUUGUGUUAGGAUCAUAGCACUUGUAUCCUUUCUGACUUGAUGAGUAUCCAAUGAACAUUGCCUUUGAACUCUUAGCUUCUAGCUUGUUUCUUAUCUCUCCAGGCACCAUCACAAAACACAAACAUCCAAAGAUCUUCAUAUGCUCGAGUGAAGGUUUGUACUGAUUCAAUACCUCAAAUGGUGAUUGUCCUUGAAGGAUCAGAGUUGGUGUCCUGUUGAUGAGAUAACAAGCCGUAGCCCUCAAAUGGUGAUUGUCCUUGAAGGAUCAGAAUUGGUGUCCUGUUGAUGAGAUAACAAGCCGUAGAAACUGCAUCACUCCAAAACUUCUUAGGCACAUUGGAUUGAAACAUCAUGGACCUGGCUACUUCCAUCAAGUGCAUGUUCUUCCUUUCAGCCACACCAUUCUGUUGUGGUGUAUAGGGACAGCUUGUCUGAUGAAGUAUUCCAUGUUGAGAUAGAUGUAGCUUGAAUGCUUGUCCCGUGUACUCUCCUCCAUUAUCUGACCUAAAAAUUUUUAUCUUGGCAUUGUAAUGGUUAGUCACAUAGGCUUGAAAGUUUUUAAAUGCAUCAAGUACCCUAUCUUUGGUUGGAAUUAAAGUUAACCAGGUGUAUUUGGAUUUUUCAUCAAUGAAAGUUACAUAGUACUUAUGAUUGUCUCUAGAAAGGCAAGGUGCAGUCCAAACAUCAGAAUGAAUAAGAUCAAAACAUUUUUCAUAAACAGUAGUAGACUUGGUAAAGACAGUUCUACAAUGCUUGCCUAAGAUGCAAGCUUCACACUCAUUAUUCUCAAAGGAAACACCUGGAAACAUCAGUUUUAAAGCCUUAUUAUGAGGGUGUCCUAAUCUAGCAUGCCACAAUGCAUUUUUACUUAAACUAGAACCAGAAACAGAAGUAAACGAGCAGCUAUAACUAGAAACAGGAGCAAGAUCUUUGAGUAAAUACAAUUCUCCUUUAGUCACUCCCUUCCCAAUCAUCUUGCUGCUUUUAAUAUCCUGAAACUUCACAUCAUUAGGACUGAAUAUGACAUUGCAUUGCAAAUCAGUAGCACAUUUCUUAACAGAUAACAAGUUUGAAGUAAAUUCAGGCAUAUAAAAGGCUUUAGUCUCCUUACCAAACAGUUUAAGACUUCCUAUUCCUCUAAUAGGUAUCUUAUCUCCAUUAGCUAUCAUCACAUUACCAUUCAUUGGUACAAUGUCUUUAAUUAAACUAGUGUCACUUAUCAUAUGAUGAGAUGCACCAGAAUCAACUACUAAAGGCUUAAUGGUAUGUGAACUAGCAAUAUGAGCAAGGAUACUAGAUGGUUUGAAUACAUGAUCAUUCCUAGCAAAACUAGCCGUUCUAGAUUGGUUUAACAUCUCAAUCACACUUUCAUGCAUCCUAUCAGUUCUAGUUAGAUUCUCAUCAUUCUCUAUAGCCCUAGCACCAAAGGAAUAAGCAAAUGUGUUACCAUGCUCUUUAAAGAGCUUGAUGAGAGCAUCCAGGUCGGAUCUCCUUAGAUACUCUUGAUCAUAGUUCCCACGGUUGCUUGGGGCUCCAGUGUAGGCUACAAGAGACUUCCCAUCACCUCCUUCACGCCCAUCUAUCUCCUUUCCUUUGCUUGGACCAGCUCCACUCGUUCCAUCUGAUACAUUAGCCCUUGCCUCACGGUCCUUCAUCAACUUUGCCGGUUUGAGAUGUGGGUGAAGGAUCCAGCAUUGACUCUUCUUGUGGCCAUGCUUCUUGCAGUGAUCACAGUUCCCAUUGAACCUCCUCUCCUCAUACUUCCCAUGCGCAGCAGCCUUAUUUGCUUGUGUAGCUUCAUUCCCUUCCUCUUGAGUCGCUUGGCUUGCAAGGGAAAGGUCUCCUUUCUUGGCAAACAACCCAAUGGAGCCUUGCUCCUUCUGAAUCCGCGCACACACAUCCUCAAGGUCAGGUAGAGUGUCUUCUCUAAGCAGGUGCUGGAUGAGACCAUUAUAUGCCGGGUUGAGGGUGAGAAGUAGGCCAAAGACCUUGUCUUGCUCUCUUCUCUUGUUGAGCUCAUCUGCAUCUGUAGUGCUUGGCCUUAACAUCUCCAUCUCGGACCAUAGUGAUCUGAAUCUCCCAAGGUGUUUAGUGAACUCCAUAUCCUCUUGUACCAGGUUGUUAAUCGCUUGCUUCACCUCAAACACCCUGCUCAAGUUUGAUGUAUUCCCAUACACCUUCUUCAGUGUGUCCCACAGUUCCUUAGCAGACUCACAGUAGCUGUAGGCAUCUAAGAUUGCUGGCUCAAGGGAUGCGUGAAGCACUGACAUCACCAGCAUGUCCUCUUGAUACCACUUCUCAGCCGCGUUGCUUGCAGCCUCACCAUCAUCCUCUCCUUGAGUGAUGAGUUUUGGAGCUUCUCCGGGGUUGAUAUGCUUCCACAACCCCUUGCUUCCCACCGUGGUUCUCACCAUCCUUGACCAUACCAAGUAGUUGUUUCCCUUGAAACACACGGCUACCUUCAUGUUCAUGUUCAUCCCACUCUCCAUGUUGAAUGAUGAACUCUCUAAGCUUCAGGAACUCUAUCUUGAGUUGAAUGACUUGUAGAAACCCUCACAGCCUCGAUCUUCAACCCACGCAGCUUCAGAUAACACACCACAACUAGUCUUGAACUUGAAAAGUACCCGGAACCUCUCAAACACCCAAGAACACACAAGAGUUUCUUCAAAGCUUCAAACUUGUAACUUCAAAGAAUCUCACACGACCUCAGGCUCUCACUAACCUGGCUCUGAUACCAUGAUAGUUUUAAUGAUGUUAAGAGUAAUCUGAGUGUUUAGAGAAGAUUAGAAUGAGUUUAGAAAAGAUUAAAGUCUGAAAUAAGAUUUGGAGUCUAGAGAGAGUUUUAGAAAGACUAAGAGAGACUCAUAACUUGCUUGAUUGUAUUAAUGAGAGUGUUUACAACUUUAUAAGAGAAGAGACUAGGGUUUUCGUAGCUAAGAGGAUAAGGUAAGCAUGUGGAGUCAAUAGCCAUUUCAAACUCGUCCAAUGAGGUGAGCUGCGCGUGUGAGCCUUCAUUAGCUGGCUCAUACCUUUUGCUUUUCCGUGUCCAGCUGUGCCAGCCUGUCCAAGACUCUCCCUUAUCCUUUCCAACGGUCUGAUCCAUCCACAAAUGCCAAGGUAACUUCUCCUCUUUACUUAAGUAACUCGGAUAACUUAUGGUGAGGUUUGGUUGAGCUUUGGUCGAUCCUAUCUUGUACGGCCUGUCCUGUCAUGUACGGCCAUGUACGGCCUUGUACGGACAGGCUGAUCCCAAAGCUCCCAAACCUUCCUAUCCUUCCUCUUCUUCAUUCUACUCAACCCUCAUCUCCAUUCUUCACUUGACACUCUUCAUCUCAACAUGUAUGAGAUCAAGAAAGCUAUCAACACACUGGUACAAGAUGGAGAGGAGUUCACCAAGCAUUUGGGCAAGUAUAGAUCCUUGUGGUCUGAGCUUGAAUCGUUGAGGCCAAGCACUAAUGAUCAAGAGCUACUCACGGAGAGGAGGGAGCAGGAUCAGGUGUUUGGUUUGCUGUUGACGUUGGAUCCUCCAUUCAACGAUGUGAUCAAGCACAUGUUGAGGAUGCCAAAUCUCCCAUCUAUGGAGGAAGUGUGUGCGCAACUUCAGAAGGAGGAAGGGUCACUUGGUCUCUUUGGGAGCAAGGGAGACUUAGCUCUAGCCAACAAGGCUGAGGAAGGAGCACAAGCUAACCGUGCAGCAUACAAGACUGAUGAGAGGAAGUAUGGUGAUGAGAGGAGGUUUGGAGGCAAUUGUGAUCACUGCAAGAAGUUGGGACACAAGAGGAGCCAAUGCUGGAUCCUUCACCCCCAUCUCAAGCUGGCCAAAUUCAACAAAGACCGAGAAGCCAGAGCUAACCUGUCUACUGAAGCAAGUGAGUCCGGUCCAUCAGGAGCAGGCUCAAGUGCACAAGUGGGUGAAAGCGCAGGAAAGGCAAUGGUAACUCACUACACGGCCGCAAAGAGUUUGGAGCAUGAAGUGAUUCGCAAAUCUGACAUUGAUGCCCUCAUCAAAGCUCUUAAGGAGUCUGGUACAUUCGGAAACACUCUUGGUUAUUCUUACACUGCUCAUAUGAUGCCUAGGAAUGAGAAUAGGUUGAUAGAUAUCAUUGAGGAAUUAAAACUGAGAAAUGAAUCACCUAGAACUCAUCUAGCUAGAGGCAUAAAACUAUUGAUUGUUGACUCUGGUGCAUCUCAUCACAUGAUCAGUGAUGAUAGCUUGAUUAAAAACAUAGAACCUGCUCAUGGACAUGUAAUGAUUGCAAAUGGAGAUAGAAUUCCCAUUAAAGGUGUAGGAGACUUAAAGCUAUUUGAUAAGAACUCUAAAGCAUUUUACAUGCCUGAUUUCACUUCUAAUCUCUUAUCUGUUAAAAGAUGUACCAAUGAUCUACAAUGCAAUGUUAUCUUUAGUCCUAACAAUGUGACAUUUCAGGAUAUUGAGAGCAAUAAGUUGAUUGGACAAGGAGUAACCAAGGGAGAUCUUUAUGUACUUGAAGAUAUUAAUCCCAUUUCUAGUUGUUUGUUGAGUUCUGUUUUAAGUAAAGGUGCAUUAUGGCAUUCUAGGCUAGGACAUCCACAUGUUAGAGCCUUAAGCUUAAUGUUACCAGGUGUCAUGUUUAAAAAUAAUGAUUGUGAGGCUUGUAUUUUGGGAAAACAUUGUAAGACUGUGUUUAAAAGAUCUACUACUAUCUAUGAUAAGUGUUUUGAUCUUGUUCACUCUGAUGUUUGGACUGCUCCCUGCUUAUCUAGAGAUAAUUACAAGUACUUUGUCACAUUUAUAGAUGAAAAAUCUAAGUACACCUGGAUAACACUCAUUAAAACAAAGGAUAGGGUUCUUGAUGCAUUUAAAAACUUCCAAGCUUAUAUAUCUAACCAGUAUAAUGCCAAGAUUAAGAUUUUCAGGUCUGAUAAUGGUGGAGAAUAUACUGGUAAUGCUUUCAAGAGUCAUCUAGCUCACCAUGGGAUUCUACAUCAGACAAGUUGUCCAUACACUCCUCAACAGAAUGGUGUAGCCGAGAGAAAGAAUAGACACCUAAUGGAGGUGGCAAGGUCUAUGAUGUUUCACACAAGUGUGCCUAAAAGAUUCUGGAGUGAUGCUGUGAUCUCGGCUUGUUAUCUGAUCAAUAGGAUACCAACCAAGAUCUUGGAGGAUCAGGCACCUUAUGAAGUUCUAAACAGAAACAAACCUGUGCUGGAUCACUUAAGAGUCUUUGGAUGUGUGUGCUUUGUACUCGUACCCAGGGAGCUAAGGAAUAAGCUAGAAGCAAAGAGCACAAGAGCCAUGUUCAUUGGCUACUCAACAUCACAAAAGGGAUAUAAAUGCUAUGAUUCAGAAGCCAGGAGAGUUCUUGUGUCUAGAGAUGUUAAGUUCUUGGAGGAUAAGAGCUUUUAUGGAGAUAGAAAGUGGGAAGAUCUUGAAGAUUUGUCUCAACCAGAUGAUAGAGCUACAAGUCUUAGGCGUGUACUAGAAGGACUUGGAAUCAACAUGUCCCAGGAUCAGCAACCAACCAAGGAGAAUGAAGCUGAAGAACCAUCACACCAUGAUCAUGAAGGGGGAAAUGAGACUGAGCCUGAAGAUCAUGAAGAUCAAGACUCAGAUAGUCAUGGUCAAGGUGUGAUACAAAGCGAGGAAGAAGUCAUUCAAGAAGUGGAACCAGAUGAAGUAGAAGGGGAAGCAGUUCAGCCUACGGUGGUGGAGGUGGAACCAGUUCCAUUAAGGAGAAGCACACGGUUGAAGAAGGAUGUUUCCAACUGGGUAAACACGAGAGUGUACUACAAUGCUCAGGCUGUGAAGCAUCCCUCUCAGGCUGUGUGUUCUUUUGCUAGUUACCCAAAGGAACAUUGCGCUUUCAUUACAAGCUUAGAUGGAAGUAGUGUACCAAGAUCAUAUGAAGAAGCAAUGCUACAUGAAGAUUGGAAAGAAUCAGUGGGUGAUGAAGCUAAUGCUAUGAUAAAGAAUGAUACUUGGUUUGAAAGUGAGUUGCCAAAAGGGAAGAAGGCUGUAACAAGCAAGUGGAUAUUCACUAUCAAGUAUCUACCUGAUGGAACCAUUGAGAGGAAGAAGACAAGAUUGGUGGCUAGAGGAUACACUCAAACAUAUGGGGAAGACUACAUUGAUACCUUUGCUCCUGUUGCCAAGCUACAUACUAUAAGGAUUGUAUUGUCUCUUGCUGUGAACCUUGAGUGGGAGCUUUGGCAGAUGGAUGUGAAGAAUGCCUUUCUUCAAGGAGAGCUAGAGGAUGAAGUAUAUAUGCAUCCACCACCAGGCCUAGAGCAUCUUGUGAAACCUGGAAAUGUAUUGAGACUCAAGAAGGCUAUCUAUGGAUUGAAGCAAUCUCCUAGAGCAUGGUACAACAAAUUGAGCACUACCUUAAACGGACGGGGGUUCAAGAAGUCUGAACUAGAUCACACUCUAUUCACUCUCACUACACCCUCAGGUAUCAUUUGCCUACUUGUAUAUGUUGAUGACAUUAUAAUAACCGGUAGUGAUAAGGCUGGUAUAAAAGCCACAAAGGAGUUUUUGAAAUCUGUAUUUGAAAUCAAAGACUUAGGAGAAAUGAAAUACUUCCUUGGAAUUGAGUUGUGUAGAUCUAAGGAAGGAUUGUUCAUUUCCCAAAGGAAGUAUACACUUGAUCUUUUGAAAGAUGCAGGUAUACAAGGAGAUAAGACAGCAAAGAUGCCCCUUGAAGAUGGAUACAAGAUUCCACGUGAGGGGGAGGUUGAAGAUAGCAAGGCCUUUCAUGAUCCAAAGCUAUACAGGAAGCUGGUAGGGAAGCUCAUCUAUCUCACUAUCACAAGACCAGACAUAUGCUUUGCUGUGAAUCAAGUGAGCCAGCAUAUGCAAGUCCCAAAGGAACAUCACUGGCACAUGGUGGAGAGACUUCUCUUGUAUCUGAACGGGACAUCAAGCCUUGGAGUAUGGAUGGGAUGCAACAAGAGUACUGAAGUGGUGGGAUAUUGUGACGCUGAUUGGGCUGGAGAUAGAGCAGACAGAAGAUCAACCACCGGCUAUUGUACAUUCAUUGGAGGCAACUUGGUGACUUGGAAGAGCAAGAAGCAGAAGGUGGUAUCGUGUUCAAGUGCUGAAGCUGAGUAUAGAGCAAUGCUGAAGCUUACAAAUGAGUUGGUAUGGAUUAAAGGGAUCUUGAAGCAUUUGGAGAUAGAGCAAGUGACUCCAAUGACUAUGCACUGUGAUAAUCAAGCGGCUAUACACAUUGCAACCAACUCAGUCUUCCAUGAGAGAACCAAGCACAUUGAAGUUGAUUGUCACAAGGUGAGGCAGAUGAUUGUCUUGGGAGUAAUCCUGCCAUGCUAUACGAGGAGUGAGGAUCAACUUGCGGAUGUGUUCACCAAGGCAACAAGACAAAAGACUAUGGAGUCCAUUCACAUCAGAUUGGGACUCAUAGAUCUUACACCAUGGAGCUGAUCCCCUUAGCCAUGAGCUCUUCACUCUUUUUCCCUCAUCAAAGUUUUGUCCCAAUGGGUUUUCUUUGGUGAGGUUUUUAAUGAGGAAGAUCUCAUGGUUGUUCCAAGCUUAACUAAGUUACUAAGUUAAGCUUGAGGGGGAGUGUUGAAAUGAGUUGAACAAUAUAUGAGAAGAUAGCUUAAGGAGUUGGGAAUGAGAUAAUGUGAAGGCAAAGAGAAGGAAAGCUUGGGAGUGAUCAGACCGUACAAGGCCGUACCGGCCGUAGCAUCCGUACGGUCCGGAUCAAUCCACAAAGAGAAGGAAAGCUUGGGAGUGAUCAGACCGUACAAGGCCGUACCGGCCGUACCAUCCGUACGGUCCGGAUCAAUCUGCCACUCGACCAAGAGGAGAAGUUACCGCGUGAAAGAAGUAAACGGCCAAAGGAGUUUUACCUUAGGGGAGAUGACCGUUUGGAUGGAUAGAGUGACUGAGCCUUAUCCACACAGGCUGGAACAGGCUGUAAAGGCAAAAGGAACCUGGUCCAAGAUGCCAAAAACAUGUGACAGCUCCCAUUGGAUCAAGUUUGAAUUAAAGCAACCUUAUCCUUGACCUCACAUGCUUAGUCUCUCUGAAACCCUUGUAUCUGAUCCUAUAUAUUGUAAACUCUGUCUUGAUUAAUAAAUAACACGAGUUUAUGAGUAUCUCUCUCUAGUUCAUCAUGAUAAUCUCAUACACUUUCUCUUAAACACUCUAAUCUCUCUUGAAUCUCUCUUAGACUUCUCAAUACCUUUCUUAUUCUCUAAAAUCAUACUAGGAGUUGGCAAGAAGAAGUUAUCCCACUUUCAAAUCAGGUGAUUCCAGUUUCCCAGUUUGGGAAUAGCACAGCUUCUUCGUCGUUCCAAUCAAACCAAGAUGAAUCACUUUGUGAGAAGCUUGAUUUGGAUACAACUGGAUAAAGUAGUUCAUCAUGAUAAUCUCAUACACUUUCUCUUAAACACUCUAAUCUCUCUUGAAUCUCUCUUAGACUUCUCAAUACCUUUCUUAUUCUCUAAAAUCAUAUGGUAUCAGAGCCAGGUUGGCUGUGGUAUUGAAAUCUUGUGUUCUUCAGCUUCAGAUAAACGUUCUUUCUUGUGAGAUUCUAAACAAAGUUCAAGCAAAUCAAGAUGGGAGGAAACAAGGUUAUUUCGGUUCCGAUUUCACUCAAGGGUGGGGGAAACUACCUGUUGUGGUCUAGGCUUGUGAAGACAGCCAUUGGGAGGCUAGGGUUAUGGGAUCACAUCACAGAUGGAGCCCCAGCACCAGUGGCCAGUGAGCAAGAAGGUGGAAGAGAGCUCGCGGUUGCUGAUGGAAAGAAGUGGAUUCAAGAUGACUUGAUGGUACUAUCUGUGCUGCAAGGAUCACUUGAAGAACAUCUCUUGGAAGCCUACAGCUACUGCGAGACUCCAAAACACCUGUGGGAGGUACUCCAAAAGACUUUUGGGAACGUUACCAAUCUGAGCCGUGUGUAUUGAUAGUUUUAAUGAUGUUAAGAGUAAUCUGAGUGUUUAGAGAAGAUUAGAAUGAGUUUAGAAAAGAUUAAAGUCUGAAAUAAGAUUUGGAGUCUAGAGAGAGUUUUAGAAAGACUAAGAGAGACUCAUAACUUGCUUGAUUGUAUUAAUGAGAGUGUUUACAACUUUAUAAGAGAAGAGACUAGGGUUUUCGUAGCUAAGAUGAUAAGGUAAGCAUGUGGAGUCAAUGGCCAUUUCAAACUCGUCCAAUGAGGUGAGCCGCGCGUGUGAGCCUUCAUUAGCUGGCUCAUACCUUUUGCUUUUCCGUGUCCAGCUGUGCCAGCCUGUCCAAGACUCUCCCUUAUCCUUUCCAACGGUCUGAUCCAUCCACAAAUGCCAAGGUAACUUCUCCUCUUUACUUAAGUAACUCCGAUAACUUAUGGUGAGGUUUGGUUGAGCUUUGGUCGAUCCUAUCUUGUACGGCCUGUCCUGUCAUGUACGGCCAUGUACGGCCAUGUACGGCCUUGUACGGACAGGCUGAUCCCAAAGCUCCCAAACCUUCCUAUCCUUCCUCUUCUUCAUUCUACUCAACCCUCAUCUCCAUUCUUCACUUGACACUCUUCAUCUCAACACUCCCCCUCAAGCUUAGCUUUGUGAAAGACUAAGCUUGGACAGCCAUGAGAUCUUCCUCAUUAAAAACCUCACUAAGGAAAACCCAUUGGGACAAAACCUUAAUGAGGGAAAAAGAGUAAAGAUCUCAUGACUAAGGGGAUCAGCUGCUUCUCUUCCCAAGAUCAAUGAGGCCCAAUCUGAUAUGAAUGGACUCCUUUGUCUUUUGCCUUGCAGCCUUGGUGAAUACAUCAGCCAACUGAUCUUCACUCCUAGUAUAACAUGGCAAGAUGACUCCUAGGACAAUCAUCUGCCUCACCUUGUGGCAAUCAACCUCAAUGUGCUUUGUUCUCUCAUGGAACACCGAGUUGGAGGCUAUGUGAAUGGCGGCCUGGUUGUCACAAUGCAUUGUCAUUGGAGUGUCUUGUGCUAUCUCCAAAUGCUUCAAGAUGCCCUUGAUCCAAACUAGCUCGUUUGUAAGCUUAAGCAUGGCUCUAUAUUCAGCUUCUGCACUAGAGCAUGACACCACCUUCUGUUUCUUACUCUUCCAAGUCACCAAGUUGCCUCCAAUGAAUGUGCAAUAGCCGGUUGUUGAUCUUCUGUCAGCUCUAUCACCUGCCCAAUCAGCAUCACAAUAGCCCACCACUUCUGUGCUUCCAUUACACCCCAUCCAUACACCUUGAUCCGGCGAGCCAUUUAGAUACAUCAGCAGCCUCUCCACCAUAUGCCAAUGAUGUUCCUUGGGAAGCUGCAUGUGUUGACUCACCUGAUUCACAGCAAAGCAUAUAUCAGGUCUUGUGAUGGUUAGAUAAAUCAAUUUUCCAACAAGUUUUCUAUAGAGUUUAGGAUCAUGAAAUGGCUUGCUGUCUUCAAUCUCCCCCUCUCUUGGUACUUUGUAGCCAUCCUCCAUUGGCAUCCUUGCUGUCUUGCCUCCAUAAGCACCUGCAUCUUUCAAAAGAUCAAGUGUAUACUUCCUUUGGGACAUGAACAAACCUUCCUUGGAUCUACAAAUCUCAAUUCCAAGAAAGUAUUUCAUUUCUCCCAAGUCUUUUAUUUCAAACAUAGACUUUAGAAACUCCUUGGUUGCUUUGAUACCUUCUUUAUCACUUCCUGUGAUAAUGAUAUCAUCCACAUACACAAGGAGAGCAACCAUACCUGAGGGUGUAGUAAGGGUAAAGAGAGUAUGGUCCAAUUCUGACUUCCUAAAGCCUCGGCCAUUCAGAGUUGUGCUCAGCUUGUUGUACCAUGCUCUUGGUGAUUGCUUCAGCCCAUAGAUAGCCUUCUUUAACCUCAGUACAUUCCCUCUCUUCACUAGAUGUUCAAGACCUGGUGGAGGAUACAUAUAGACUUCAUCCUCAAGUUCUCCUUGUAGAAAUGCAUUCUUCACAUCCAUUUGCCACAAUCCCCAUCCAAGGUUCACAACCAAGCUUAAAACAAUUCUAAUUGUGUGUAGCUUGGCUACUGGUGCAAAUGUCUCAAUGUAAUCCUCUCCAUAUGUCUGAGUAAACCCUCUUGCUACUAGUCUAGUUUUCUUCCUCUCAAUCGACCCAUCAGCCUUGUACUUGAUUGUAAAGAUCCAUCUACUAGACACUGCCUUCUUCCCUUUUGGUAGUUCACUCUCAUACCAUGUAUCAUUCUUUAUCAUAGCUCCUGCCUCAGCUCCUACUGAUUCCUUCCACUCCUUAUCCUCCAUUGCCUCUUCAUAGCUUCUUGGAAUGUGAUUCUCAUUCAAGUUUACCAUAAAUGCACAAUGUGCUUCUAGAUAUUGACUGAAAGAACACACGGCCUGAGUAGGAUGCUCCACAGCUUGGGCAUUGUAGUACACUCUCGUGUUUACCCAACUGGAAGGGUCCUUUCUCAGCCUUGUACUUCUUCUUAACAUUGGCCCUUCUUGUGCCAUCUCUUGUUCUUCUUCUUGUGACAACAUUUCGGAUCUUUCUUCUCCUAGCUGACUUGCUUCAGCUCCCUCUUCCCUUAGCUGAUCAUUAGCUUCUUCUUGUUGAUCAUCUGAUUCCACAGCUUGAUCAUGAGAGCCAGAACUCUCUUCUCUACUUGUUUCUUCACGCUCAAGGUUUGGAGUUCUUGUUUCAUUCCCCCCUUCAUGCUCAAGGUUGGAAGUCUGAUGAUCCGGUGCUGGAGUUGUGCUUCUCCCCCCCUGAUGUCCUUGAUUCAUGUUGAUUCCAAGCCCUUCUAGGAUCAACCUCAAGGUUUCAGCUCUAUCAGAUGUAAGAUCCUUCAAAUCUUCUUGAAUCUGCUCUUCAUAAUAUCCUUUUUCUUCAACAAACUUUACUUCUCUAGAUACUAACAUUCUCCUUGUGUUAGGAUCAUAGCACUUGUAUCCUUUCUGACUUGAUGAGUAUCCAAUGAACAUUGCCUUUGAACUCUUAGCUUCUAGCUUGUUUCUUAUCUCUCCAGGCACCAUCACAAAACACAAACAUCCAAAGAUCUUCAUAUGCUCGAGUGAAGGUUUGUACUGAUUCAAUACCUCAAAUGGUGAUUGUCCUUGAAGGAUCAGAAUUGGUGUCCUGUUGAUGAGAUAACAAGCCGUAGAAACUGCAUCACUCCAAAACUUCUUAGGCACAUUGGAUUGAAACAUCAUGGACCUGGCUACUUCCAUCAAGUGCAUGUUCUUCCUUUCAGCCACACCAUUCUGUUGUGGUGUAUAGGGACAGCUUGUCUGAUGAAGUAUUCCAUGUUGAGAUAGAUGUAGCUUGAAUGCUUGUCCCGUGUACUCUCCUCCAUUAUCUGACCUAAAAAUUUUUAUCUUGGCAUUGUAAUGGUUAGUCACAUAGGCUUGAAAGUUUUUAAAUGCAUCAAGUACCCUAUCUUUGGUUGGAAUUAAAGUUAACCAGGUGUAUUUGGAUUUUUCAUCAAUGAAAGUUACAUAGUACUUAUGAUUGUCUCUAGAAAGGCAAGGUGCAGUCCAAACAUCAGAAUGAAUAAGAUCAAAACAUUUUUCAUAAACAGUAGUAGACUUGGUAAAGACAGUUCUACAAUGCUUGCCUAAGAUGCAAGCUUCACACUCAUUAUUCUCAAAGGAAACACCUGGAAACAUCAGUUUUAAAGCCUUAUUAUGAGGGUGUCCUAAUCUAGCAUGCCACAAUGCAUUUUUACUUAAACUAGAACCAGAAACAGAAGUAAACGAGCAGCUAUAACUAGAAACAGGAGCAAGAUCUUUGAGUAAAUACAAUUCUCCUUUAGUCACUCCCUUCCCAAUCAUCUUGCUGCUUUUAAUAUCCUGAAACUUCACAUCAUUAGGACUGAAUAUGACAUUGCAUUGCAAAUCAGUAGCACAUUUCUUAACAGAUAACAAGUUUGAAGUAAAUUCAGGCAUAUAAAAGGCUUUAGUCUCCUUACCAAACAGUUUAAGACUUCCUAUUCCUCUAAUAGGUAUCUUAUCUCCAUUAGCUAUCAUCACAUUACCAUUCAUUGGUACAAUGUCUUUAAUUAAACUAGUGUCACUUAUCAUAUGAUGAGAUGCACCAGAAUCAACUACUAAAGGCUUAAUGGUAUGUGAACUAGCAAUAUGAGCAAGGAUACUAGAUGGUUUGAAUACAUGAUCAUUCCUAGCAAAACUAGCCGUUCUAGAUUGGUUUAACAUCUCAAUCACACUUUCAUGCAUCCUAUCAGUUCUAGUUAGAUUCUCAUCAUUCUCUAUAGCCCUAGCACCAAAGGAAUAAGCAAAUGUGUUACCAUGCUCUUUAAAGAGCUUGAUGAGAGCAUCCAGGUCGGAUCUCCUUAGAUACUCUUGAUCAUAGUUCCCACGGUUGCUUGGGGCUCCAGUGUAGGCUACAAGAGACUUCCCAUCACCUCCUUCACGCCCAUCUAUCUCCUUUCCUUUGCUUGGACCAGCUCCACUCGUUCCAUCUGAUACAUUAGCCCUUGCCUCACGGUCCUUCAUCAACUUUGCCGGUUUGAGAUGUGGGUGAAGGAUCCAGCAUUGACUCUUCUUGUGGCCAUGCUUCUUGCAGUGAUCACAGUUCCCAUUGAACCUCCUCUCCUCAUACUUCCCAUGCGCAGCAGCCUUAUUUGCUUGUGUAGCUUCAUUCCCUUCCUCUUGAGUCGCUUGGCUUGCAAGGGAAAGGUCUCCUUUCUUGGCAAACAACCCAAUGGAGCCUUGCUCCUUCUGAAUCCGCGCACACACAUCCUCAAGGUCAGGUAGAGUGUCUUCUCUAAGCAGGUGCUGGAUGAGACCAUUAUAUGCCGGGUUGAGGGUGAGAAGUAGGCCAAAGACCUUGUCUUGCUCUCUUCUCUUGUUGAGCUCAUCUGCAUCUGUAGUGCUUGGCCUUAACAUCUCCAUCUCGGACCAUAGUGAUCUGAAUCUCCCAAGGUGUUUAGUGAACUCCAUAUCCUCUUGUACCAGGUUGUUAAUCGCUUGCUUCACCUCAAACACCCUACUCAAUUUUGAUGUAUUCCCAUACACCUUCUUCAGUGUGUCCCACAGUUCCUUAGCAGACUCACAGUAGCUGUAGGCAUCUAAGAUUGCUGGCUCAAGGGAUGCGUGAAGCACUGACAUCACCAGCAUGUCCUCUUGAUACCACUUCUCAGCCGCGUUGCUUGCAGCCUCACCAUCAUCCUCUCCUUGAGUGAUGAGUUUUGGAGCUUCUCCGGGGUUGAUAUGCUUCCACAACCCCUUGCUUCCCACCGUGGUUCUCACCAUCCUUGACCAUACCAAGUAGUUGUUUCCCUUGAAACACACGGCUACCUUCAUGUUCAUGUUCAUCCCACUCUCCAUGUUGAAUGAUGAACUCUCUAAGCUUCAGGAACUCUAUCUUGAGUUGAAUGACUUGUAGAAACCCUCACAGCCUCGAUCUUCAACCCACGCAGCUUCAGAUAACACACCACAACUAGUCUUGAACUUGAAAAGUACCCGGAACCUCUCAAACACCCAAGAACACACAAGAGUUUCUUCAAAGCUUCAAACUUGUAACUUCAAAGAAUCUCACACGACCUCAGGCUCUCACUAACCUGGCUCUGAUACCAUGAUAGUUUUAAUGAUGUUAAGAGUAAUCUGAGUGUUUAGAGAAGAUUAGAAUGAGUUUAGAAAAGAUUAAAGUCUGAAAUAAGAUUUGGAGUCUAGAGAGAGUUUUAGAAAGACUAAGAGAGACUCAUAACUUGCUUGAUUGUAUUAAUGAGAGUGUUUACAACUUUAUAAGAGAAGAGACUAGGGUUUUCGUAGCUAAGAGGAUAAGGUAAGCAUGUGGAGUCAAUAGCCAUUUCAAACUCGUCCAAUGAGGUGAGCUGCGCGUGUGAGCCUUCAUUAGCUGGCUCAUACCUUUUGCUUUUCCGUGUCCAGCUGUGCCAGCCUGUCCAAGACUCUCCCUUAUCCUUUCCAACGGUCUGAUCCAUCCACAAAUGCCAAGGUAACUUCUCCUCUUUACUUAAGUAACUCGGAUAACUUAUGGUGAGGUUUGGUUGAGCUUUGGUCGAUCCUAUCUUGUACGGCCUGUCCUGUCAUGUACGGCCAUGUACGGCCAUGUACGGCCUUGUACGGACAGGCUGAUCCCAAAGCUCCCAAACCUUCCUAUCCUUCCUCUUCUUCAUUCUACUCAACCCUCAUCUCCAUUCUUCACUUGACACUCUUCAUCUCAACAUGUAUGAGAUCAAGAAAGCUAUCAACACACUGGUACAAGAUGGAGAGGAGUUCACCAAGCAUUUGGGCAAGUAUAGAUCCUUGUGGUCUGAGCUUGAAUCGUUGAGGCCAAGCACUAAUGAUCAAGAGCUACUCACGGAGAGGAGGGAGCAGGAUCAGGUGUUUGGUUUGCUGUUGACGUUGGAUCCUCCAUUCAACGAUGUGAUCAAGCACAUGUUGAGGAUGCCAAAUCUCCCAUCUAUGGAGGAAGUGUGUGCGCAACUUCAGAAGGAGGAAGGGUCACUUGGUCUCUUUGGGAGCAAGGGAGACUUAGCUCUAGCCAACAAGGCUGAGGAAGGAGCACAAGCUAACCGUGCAGCAUACAAGACUGAUGAGAGGAAGUAUGGUGAUGAGAGGAGGUUUGGAGGCAAUUGUGAUCACUGCAAGAAGUUGGGACACAAGAGGAGCCAAUGCUGGAUCCUUCACCCCCAUCUCAAGCUGGCCAAAUUCAACAAAGACCGAGAAGCCAGAGCUAACCUGUCUACUGAAGCAAGUGAGUCCGGUCCAUCAGGAGCAGGCUCAAGUGCACAAGUGGGUGAAAGCGCAGGAAAGGCAAUGGUAACUCACUACACGGCCGCAAAGAGUUUGGAGCAUGAAGUGAUUCGCAAAUCUGACAUUGAUGCCCUCAUCAAAGCUCUUAAGGAGUCUGGUACAUUCGGAAACACUCUUGGUUAUUCUUACACUGCUCAUAUGAUGCCUAGGAAUGAGAAUAGGUUGAUAGAUAUCAUUGAGGAAUUAAAACUGAGAAAUGAAUCACCUAGAACUCAUCUAGCUAGAGGCAUAAAACUAUUGAUUGUUGACUCUGGUGCAUCUCAUCACAUGAUCAGUGAUGAUAGCUUGAUUAAAAACAUAGAACCUGCUCAUGGACAUGUAAUGAUUGCAAAUGGAGAUAGAAUUCCCAUUAAAGGUGUAGGAGACUUAAAGCUAUUUGAUAAGAACUCUAAAGCAUUUUACAUGCCUGAUUUCACUUCUAAUCUCUUAUCUGUUAAAAGAUGUACCAAUGAUCUACAAUGCAAUGUUAUCUUUAGUCCUAACAAUGUGACAUUUCAGGAUAUUGAGAGCAAUAAGUUGAUUGGACAAGGAGUAACCAAGGGAGAUCUUUAUGUACUUGAAGAUAUUAAUCCCAUUUCUAGUUGUUUGUUGAGUUCUGUUUUAAGUAAAGGUGCAUUAUGGCAUUCUAGGCUAGGACAUCCACAUGUUAGAGCCUUAAGCUUAAUGUUACCAGGUGUCAUGUUUAAAAAUAAUGAUUGUGAGGCUUGUAUUUUGGGAAAACAUUGUAAGACUGUGUUUAAAAGAUCUACUACUAUCUAUGAUAAGUGUUUUGAUCUUGUUCACUCUGAUGUUUGGACUGCUCCCUGCUUAUCUAGAGAUAAUUACAAGUACUUUGUCACAUUUAUAGAUGAAAAAUCUAAGUACACCUGGAUAACACUCAUUAAAACAAAGGAUAGGGUUCUUGAUGCAUUUAAAAACUUCCAAGCUUAUAUAUCUAACCAGUAUAAUGCCAAGAUUAAGAUUUUCAGGUCUGAUAAUGGUGGAGAAUAUACUGGUAAUGCUUUCAAGAGUCAUCUAGCUCACCAUGGGAUUCUACAUCAGACAAGUUGUCCAUACACUCCUCAACAGAAUGGUGUAGCCGAGAGAAAGAAUAGACACCUAAUGGAGGUGGCAAGGUCUAUGAUGUUUCACACAAGUGUGCCUAAAAGAUUCUGGAGUGAUGCUGUGAUCUCGGCUUGUUAUCUGAUCAAUAGGAUACCAACCAAGAUCUUGGAGGAUCAGGCACCUUAUGAAGUUCUAAACAGAAACAAACCUGUGCUGGAUCACUUAAGAGUCUUUGGAUGUGUGUGCUUUGUACUCGUACCCAGGGAGCUAAGGAAUAAGCUAGAAGCAAAGAGCACAAGAGCCAUGUUCAUUGGCUACUCAACAUCACAAAAGGGAUAUAAAUGCUAUGAUUCAGAAGCCAGGAGAGUUCUUGUGUCUAGAGAUGUUAAGUUCUUGGAGGAUAAGAGCUUUUAUGGAGAUAGAAAGUGGGAAGAUCUUGAAGAUUUGUCUCAACCAGAUGAUAGAGCUACAAGUCUUAGGCGUGUACUAGAAGGACUUGGAAUCAACAUGUCCCAGGAUCAGCAACCAACCAAGGAGAAUGAAGCUGAAGAACCAUCACACCAUGAUCAUGAAGGGGGAAAUGAGACUGAGCCUGAAGAUCAUGAAGAUCAAGACUCAGAUAGUCAUGGUCAAGGUGUGAUACAAAGCGAGGAAGAAGUCAUUCAAGAAGUGGAACCAGAUGAAGUAGAAGGGGAAGCAGUUCAGCCUACGGUGGUGGAGGUGGAACCAGUUCCAUUAAGGAGAAGCACACGGUUGAAGAAGGAUGUUUCCAACUGGGUAAACACGAGAGUGUACUACAAUGCUCAGGCUGUGAAGCAUCCCUCUCAGGCUGUGUGUUCUUUUGCUAGUUACCCAAAGGAACAUUGCGCUUUCAUUACAAGCUUAGAUGGAAGUAGUGUACCAAGAUCAUAUGAAGAAGCAAUGCUACAUGAAGAUUGGAAAGAAUCAGUGGGUGAUGAAGCUAAUGCUAUGAUAAAGAAUGAUACUUGGUUUGAAAGUGAGUUGCCAAAAGGGAAGAAGGCUGUAACAAGCAAGUGGAUAUUCACUAUCAAGUAUCUACCUGAUGGAACCAUUGAGAGGAAGAAGACAAGAUUGGUGGCUAGAGGAUACACUCAAACAUAUGGGGAAGACUACAUUGAUACCUUUGCUCCUGUUGCCAAGCUACAUACUAUAAGGAUUGUAUUGUCUCUUGCUGUGAACCUUGAGUGGGAGCUUUGGCAGAUGGAUGUGAAGAAUGCCUUUCUUCAAGGAGAGCUAGAGGAUGAAGUAUAUAUGCAUCCACCACCAGGCCUAGAGCAUCUUGUGAAACCUGGAAAUGUAUUGAGACUCAAGAAGGCUAUCUAUGGAUUGAAGCAAUCUCCUAGAGCAUGGUACAACAAAUUGAGCACUACCUUAAACGGACGGGGGUUCAAGAAGUCUGAACUAGAUCACACUCUAUUCACUCUCACUACACCCUCAGGUAUCAUUUGCCUACUUGUAUAUGUUGAUGACAUUAUAAUAACCGGUAGUGAUAAGGCUGGUAUAAAAGCCACAAAGGAGUUUUUGAAAUCUGUAUUUGAAAUCAAAGACUUAGGAGAAAUGAAAUACUUCCUUGGAAUUGAGUUGUGUAGAUCUAAGGAAGGAUUGUUCAUUUCCCAAAGGAAGUAUACACUUGAUCUUUUGAAAGAUGCAGGUAUACAAGGAGAUAAGACAGCAAAGAUGCCCCUUGAAGAUGGAUACAAGAUUCCACGUGAGGGGGAGGUUGAAGAUAGCAAGGCCUUUCAUGAUCCAAAGCUAUACAGGAAGCUGGUAGGGAAGCUCAUCUAUCUCACUAUCACAAGACCAGACAUAUGCUUUGCUGUGAAUCAAGUGAGCCAGCAUAUGCAAGUCCCAAAGGAACAUCACUGGCACAUGGUGGAGAGACUUCUCUUGUAUCUGAACGGGACAUCAAGCCUUGGAGUAUGGAUGGGAUGCAACAAGAGUACUGAAGUGGUGGGAUAUUGUGACGCUGAUUGGGCUGGAGAUAGAGCAGACAGAAGAUCAACCACCGGCUAUUGUACAUUCAUUGGAGGCAACUUGGUGACUUGGAAGAGCAAGAAGCAGAAGGUGGUAUCGUGUUCAAGUGCUGAAGCUGAGUAUAGAGCAAUGCUGAAGCUUACAAAUGAGUUGGUAUGGAUUAAAGGGAUCUUGAAGCAUUUGGAGAUAGAGCAAGUGACUCCAAUGACUAUGCACUGUGAUAAUCAAGCGGCUAUACACAUUGCAACCAACUCAGUCUUCCAUGAGAGAACCAAGCACAUUGAAGUUGAUUGUCACAAGGUGAGGCAGAUGAUUGUCUUGGGAGUAAUCCUGCCAUGCUAUACGAGGAGUGAGGAUCAACUUGCGGAUGUGUUCACCAAGGCAACAAGACAAAAGACUAUGGAGUCCAUUCACAUCAGAUUGGGACUCAUAGAUCUUACACCAUGGAGCUGAUCCCCUUAGCCAUGAGCUCUUCACUCUUUUUCCCUCAUCAAAGUUUUGUCCCAAUGGGUUUUCUUUGGUGAGGUUUUUAAUGAGGAAGAUCUCAUGGUUGUUCCAAGCUUAACUAAGUUACUAAGUUAAGCUUGAGGGGGAGUGUUGAAAUGAGUUGAACAAUAUAUGAGAAGAUAGCUUAAGGAGUUGGGAAUGAGAUAAUGUGAAGGCAAAGAGAAGGAAAGCUUGGGAGUGAUCAGACCGUACAAGGCCGUACCGGCCGUAGCAUCCGUACGGUCCGGAUCAAUCCACCACUCGACCAAGAGGAGAAGUUACCGCGUGAGAUAGCUUAAGGAGUUGGGAAUGAGAUAAUGUGAAGGCAAAGAGAAGGAAAGCUUGGGAGUGAUCAGACCGUACAAGGCCGUACCGGCCGUACCAUCCGUACGGUCCGGAUCAAUCUGCCACUCGACCAAGAGGAGAAGUUACCGCGUGAAAGAAGUAAACGGCCAAAGGAGUUUUACCUUAGGGGAGAUGACCGUUUGGAUGGAUAGAGUGACUGAGCCUUAUCCACACAGGCUGGAACAGGCUGUAAAGGCAAAAGGAACCUGGUCCAAGAUGCCAAAAACAUGUGACAGCUCCCAUUGGAUCAAGUUUGAAUUAAAGCAACCUUAUCCUUGACCUCACAUGCUUAGUCUCUCUGAAACCCUUGUAUCUGAUCCUAUAUAUUGUAAACUCUGUCUUGAUUAAUAAAUAACACGAGUUUAUGAGUAUCUCUCUCUAGUUCAUCAUGAUAAUCUCAUACACUUUCUCUUAAACACUCUAAUCUCUCUUGAAUCUCUCUUAGACUUCUCAAUACCUUUCUUAUUCUCUAAAAUCAUACUAGGAGUUGGCAAGAAGAAGUUAUCCCACUUUCAAAUCAGGUGAUUCCAGUUUCCCAGUUUGGGAAUAGCACAGCUUCUUCGUCGUUCCAAUCAAACCAAGAUGAAUCACUUUGUGAGAAGCUUGAUUUGGAUACAACUGGAUAAAGUAGUUCAUCAUGAUAAUCUCAUACACUUUCUCUUAAACACUCUAAUCUCUCUUGAAUCUCUCUUAGACUUCUCAAUACCUUUCUUAUUCUCUAAAAUCAUAUGGUAUCAGAGCCAGGUUGGCUGUGGUAUUGAAAUCUUGUGUUCUUCAGCUUCAGAUAAACGUUCUUUCUUGUGAGAUUCUAAACAAAGUUCAAGCAAAUCAAGAUGGGAGGAAACAAGGUUAUUUCGGUUCCGAUUUCACUCAAGGGUGGGGGAAACUACCUGUUGUGGUCUAGGCUUGUGAAGACAGCCAUUGGGAGGCUAGGGUUAUGGGAUCACAUCACAGAUGGAGCCCCAGCACCAGUGGCCAGUGAGCAAGAAGGUGGAAGAGAGCUCGCGGUUGCUGAUGGAAAGAAGUGGAUUCAAGAUGACUUGAUGGUACUAUCUGUGCUGCAAGGAUCACUUGAAGAACAUCUCUUGGAAGCCUACAGCUACUGCGAGACUCCAAAACACCUGUGGGAGGUACUCCAAAAGACUUUUGGGAACNNNNNNNNNNNNNNNNNNNNNNNNNNNNNNNNNNNNNNNNNNNNNNNNNNNNNNNNNNNNNNNNNNNNNNNNNNNNNNNNNNNNNNNNNNNNNNNNNNNNNNNNNNNNNNNNNNNNNNNNNNNNNNNNNNNNNNNNNNNNNNNNNNNNNNNNNNNNNNNNNNNNNNNNNNNNNNNNNNNNNNNNNNNNNNNNNNNNNNNNNNNNNNNNNNNNNNNNNNNNNNNNNNNNNNNNNNNNNNNNNNNNNNNNNNNNNNNNNNNNNNNNNNNNNNNNNNNNNNNNNNNNNNNNNNNNNNNNNNNNNNNNNNNNNNNNNNNNNNNNNNNNNNNNNNNNNNNNNNNNNNNNNNNNNNNNNNNNNNNNNNNNNNNNNNNNNNNNNNNNNNNNNNNNNNNNNNNNNNNNNNNNNNNNNNNNNNNNNNNNNNNNNNNNNNNNNNNNNNNNNNNNNNNNNNNNNNNNNNNNNNNAUACUCCAACGGUCUCUUGAAGUGUCUAUCCUGGAGGCAUACAGCUACUGUGAGACAGCAAAGGAUCUUUGGGACACGCUAAAGAAGGUUUAUGGUAACAUCUCAAACUUGAGCCGUGUGUUUGAAGUGAAACGUGCUAUCAACAGCUUGACACAGGAGGACAUGGAGUUUACUAAGCAUCUUGGGAGGUUCAGAGCCUUGUGGUCUGAACUGGAGAUGCUGAGGCCAGGCACAACCAACCUAGAUGAGCUGGCUGAGAGACGUGAGCAAGACAAGGUGUUUGGGUUGCUACUCACGUUGAAUCCAAGCUACAACAGCCUCAUCAAACACAUCCUGAGGUCCGGGAAGUUACCUGACCUUGAGGACGUGUGUGCACAAGUUCAGAAGGAGGAAGGUUCUAUUGGUCUCUUUGGAGGAAAAGGAGAGAUCACACUUGCAAACCAAGCUGAGGUUCCGCAAGCAAACCGUGCAAGCUCUAACCAGUAUGAUGCAAAGAAGUUCACGGGAAAUUGUGAUCAUUGCAAGAGACAAGGUCACAAGAAGAACCAGUGCUGGAUCUUGCAUCCUCAUCUGAAGCCGGCCAAGUUCUCAAGAGAAAAAGAUGGGAGAGCCAAUGUCUCGUAUGCUGGAAGUGAUCCGGGAAGUUCAAGUGUUGCUGGGAGCUCAGGCCAAGCUGGAGAGGGCGGGACACGUGAGCCUGGAGAUAGCAAGGCCCUGGUGACUUACACACCUCAGCCAAGCCUUCAGAACAACCGUGAGAACGAGUACCUAAGGAGAUCAGACAUUGACUCCCUCAUCAAAAUGCUAAAGGAGAAUGGUAACACACUUGGUACUCUUGGUUACUCCUUUGGUGCAUCAUAUGAAUCGUGUAGUAUUGCUAGAGAACCUGAUCAUUCAAGCAUUGCUUAUAAACCUACUAGCAUACUAGGACAGUCUCAUAUUGCACACAAUCUGUUUAAACCAUUGGUAGUUGAUUCAGGAGCUUCUCAUCAUAUGAUUAGUGAUACUAGUUUGAUUAGAGACAUUGAACCUACAAAUGGACAUGUCAUGAUUGCAAAUGGAGAUAAAAUCCCAAUUAGAGGAAUUGGCAAGCUAAAAUUGUUUGAUAAAGACUCUAAAGCAUUUUAUAUGCCUGACUUCACAUCAAAUCUAUUAUCUGUAAAGAAGUGUACUACAGAUCUUAAUUGCAAUGUUAUAUUUAGUCCUAAUGAUGUGAAGUUUCAGGAUAUUGAGAGCAGCCAAUUGAUUGGAAAAGGAGUUACCAAGGGAGAUUUAUAUUUACUUGAAGAACUAGCUCCUGUUUCUGAUUACUUAUGCUCAUUUACUUCUGCUUCUAUGAUGAAUAAAAAUGCAUUGUGGCAUGCUAGACUAGGUCAUCCCCAUGUUAGGGCUUUAAACUUAAUGUUACCAGGUGUGGUAUUUGAAAAUAAGGAUUGUGAAGCUUGCAUUUUAGGCAAGCAUUGUAAAACUGUGUUUCCCAUUUCAUCUACUGUUUAUGACAAAUGCUUUGAUCUAAUUCACUCUGAUGUUUGGACUGCUCCUUGCUUGUCUAGGGAUAGUUUUAAAUACUUUGUCACAUUCAUAGAUGAAAAAUCGAAAUACACCUGGAUAACACUUAUUCAAACCAAAGAUAGGGUGCUUGAAGCUUUUAAGAAUUUUCAUAACUAUGUGACUAACCAUUACAAUGCCAAGAUUAAAAUUUUGAGAUCAGAUAAUGGUGGGGAAUACACUGGUCAAGCCUUCAAGCAACAUCUAGCACAACAUGGGAUACUACACCAAACGAGUUGUCCUUAUACUCCUCAGCAAAAUGGAGUGGCUGAGAGAAAGAAUAGGCAUCUCAUGGAGGUGGCAAGGUCAAUUAUGUUUCAAGCAAAUGUUCCUAAGAGGUUUUGGAGUGAUGCUGUGGCUACAUCUUGUUAUCUAAUCAACCGGAUCCCAACUAAGAUUCUACAUGAUCAGUCUCCUUUUGAAGCCUUGAACAAGUACAAGCCAUCAUUGGAGCAUAUGCGAAUCUUUGGAUGUCUAUGCUUUGUCCUUAUGCCAAAAGAGUUGAGAAACAAGCUUGAAGCAACCAGCACAAGAGCUAUGUUUGUUGGCUACUCUACUACUCAAAAGGGUUACAAGUGCUAUGAUCCUACUACUCGAAGAGUUCUAGUCUCUAGAGAUGUAAAGUUCAUUGAAGCUAAGGGGUUCUAUGAGGAAAAGAAUCAAGAUGAGCUGCUAGAGUUGACAAGAGAGUCAGAUAGAGCGGCCAGCCUUAGAAGUAUUCUAGAGGGGCUUGGGAUACAUACUACCCAGGAUCCGAAGGAGAGACGCAGUACAACAACCAUGUUGAGAUGAGCUGAGUAUAUGGAGAUGAAGAGAGAAGGAGUUGAAGAGAAGAGGAGAUGAAGUACUUAGGGAAGUUUGGGAGAGUAUGGUACGGUAGGAGAUGAAGUACUUAGGGAAGUUUGGGAGAGUAGGGUACGGUAGGCCGUACAAGGCCGUACAAGGCCGUACCAUCCAAACCUCAACCAAAACUUACCAUACCUUAUCCAAGUGAGACGGUAACUAAGGAGGAGUGACUUGGGUAGCUUAGGGAGAGGAUCAGACCGUUGAAAGGAUAAGGGGACGCGGUGCCAGGCUGGAACAGGCUGGAAAGCUAAAGCACCUUUAGUCCAAGAUGCCAUAAGCGUGUGAUGCAUCCUAGUGGUUGAUUUGAAUCCAUUGCCUUGACUACACACGGCUCAAUAGUGCUCAUUUCCCUUCUUGUAAACCCUUGUGUUCCUCUUAUAAAUAUGUAACCUCACUCAUUAAUAAGAUUAAGAAAGUUACGAGUCUCUCUCUUAGUCUUUACUCUCAACAUGAUUCGAUCCUAGACUUCUAAUCUCAUUUCAUACUCAAAUCUCUUCUAAAUCACUUCUAGUCUUUCUUAUUUACUCAGAUUACUCUACUCAAUCCUAAAAGUGAUAUGGUAUCAGAGCCAGGUUCAUAGGAAACUUGGUUUCGUUGAGUUCUUUAAAAAUUCAAGAUUGAAGCUUUGAAGAGACAGUUUGGUGUUCGUGUGUUCUUAAGCGGUUCUGGGUAGUCUUUCUGAGUUCUAUUGGUUGUGUGAGGUGUUAUUGAAGCUGUGUGGUGUUCGCUCAAGACAAGUUACCUCAAGAGAAAGUUAUUGAAGUCUAAAGGGUUCUACAUUCAACAUGGAGAGUGGGAUGAACAUGAACAUGAAAGUGGCGGUGUGUUUCAAGGGAAACAACUACUUGGUGUGGUCUCGGAUGGUGAGAACCACAGUGGGAAGCAAGGGGCUUUGGAAACACAUCACGCCAGGAGAAGCUCCAAAGCUCAUCACUCAAGGAGAGGCUGAAGAUGAAGCCGCAAGCAAGGCAGAAGAGAAGUGGCAUCAAGAGGACAUGUUGGUGAUGUCUGUGCUCCAUGCGUCCCUUGAGCCGGCUAUUCUGGAUGCAUACAGCUACUGUGAGUCUGCUAAAGAGCUGUGGGAUACUUUGAAGAAGGUGUAUGGCAACACUUCAAACCUAAGCCGAGUGUUUGAGGUGAAGCAAGCUAUCAACAACCUUGUACAAGAAGACAUGGAGUUCACUAAGCAUCUAGGAAGAUUCAGAAGCCUCUGGUCCGAGAUGGAGAUGCUUAGGCCAAGCACAACGGAUGCUGAUGAGCUUAACAAGAGGAGAGAGCAAGAUAAGGUCUUUGGGUUACUCCUCACCCUAAACCCGGCGUACAACGGUCUCAUCCAGCACUUACUUAGGGAGGAUACUCUACCUGACCUUGAGGAUGUGUGUGCACGGAUUCAGAAGGAGCAAGGCUCCAUUGGGCUGUUUGGGAAGAAAGGAGAUCUUUCCCUUGCAAGUCAAGCAACUCAAGAGGAGGGGAGUGAAGCUCCACAAGCAAACAAGGCUGCGCAUGGGAAGUUUGAGGAGAGGAGGUUCAAUGGGAGUUGUGAUCACUGCAAGAAGCAUGGUCACAAGAAGAGCCAAUGCUGGAUACUCCACCCUCACCUCAAGCCGGCUAAGUUCAUGAAGGAUCGUGAGGCAAGGGCUAAUGUCUCGGAUGGUACAAGUGGUGUUGGUACAAGCAAAGGAAAGGAGAUAGAUGGGCGUGAGGCAGGUGAUGGGAAGUCUCUUGUAGCCUACACUGGAGCACCAAGCAACCGUGGGAACAAUGAUCAAGAGUAUCUAAGGAGAUCCGACCUUGAUGCUCUCAUUAAGUUGUUCAAGGAGAAUGGUAACACAUUUGGGUAUUCAUUUGGUGCUAGUGUAGUAGAGAACUAUAAGAAUCUAACUAGAACUGAUAGGAUGCAUAAGAGCUUGAUAGAAAUGGUAAAUCAAUCUAGGAUUGCAAACUUUGCUAGAAAUGAUCAUACAUUCAAACCAUCUAGUAUCCUUGCACAUAUUGCUAGUUCUCAUGACAUUAAGCCAUUAGUGAUUGAUUCAGGAGCAUCUCAUCAUAUGAUAAGUGAUACUAGUUUGAUUAAAAACAUUGUACCAAUGAAUGGAAAUGUGAUGAUUGCUAAUGGAGAUAAGAUUCCUAUUAGAGGAAUAGGAAGUCUUAAACUGUUUGAUAAGGAAACUAAAGCCUUUUAUAUGCCUGAAUUUACUUCAAACUUGUUAUCUGUUAAGAAAUGUGCUACUGAUUUACAAUGCAAUGUUAUAUUCAGUCCUAAUGAUGUGAAGUUUCAGGAUAUUAAAAGCAGCAAGAUGAUUGGAAAGGGAGUGACUAAAGGAGAACUAUAUUUACUUGAAGAUCUCACUCCUGUUUCUAGAUAUAGCUGCUCGUUUACUUCUGUUUCUGGUUCUAGUUUAAGUAAAAAUGCAUUGUGGCAUGCUAGAUUAGGACACCCUCAUAAUAAGGCUUUAAAACUGAUGUUGCCAGGUGUUUCCUUUGAGAAUAAUGAGUGUGAAGCUUGCAUCUUAGGCAAGCAUUGUAGAACUGUCUUUACCAAGUCCACUACUGUUUAUGAAAAAUGUUUUGAUCUCAUUCAUUCUGAUGUUUGGACUGCACCUUGCCUGUCUAGAGAUAGCCAUAAGUACUAUGUAACUUUCAUUGAUGAAAAAUCCAAAUACACCUGGUUAACCUUAAUUCCAACCAAAGAUAGGGUACUUGAUGCAUUUAAAAACUUUCAAACCUAUGUAACUAACCAUUACAAUGCCAAGAUAAAGAUUUUUAGGUCAGAUAAUGGAGGAGAGUACACAGGACAAGCAUUCAAACUACACCUAUCUCAGCAUGGAAUCCUUCAUCAGACAAGCUGUCCCUAUACCCCACAACAGAAUGGUGUGGCUGAGAGGAAGAACAGGCAUUUGAUGGAAGUAGCCAGGUCUAUGAUGUUUCAAUCUAACGUGCCUAAGAAGUUUUGGAGUGAUGCAGUUGCUACGGCUUGUUAUCUCAUCAACAGGACACCAACUCUGAUUCUUCAAGGACGAUCACCAUUUGAGGUACUGAAUCAGUACAAACCCUCUCUAGAGCAUAUGAAGAUCUUUGGAUGUUUGUGUUUUGUGAUGGUGCCUGGAGAGAUAAGAAACAAGCUAGAAGCUAAGAGUUCAAAGGCAAUGUUUAUUGGAUAUUCAUCAAGUCAGAAAGGAUACAAGUGCUAUGAUCCUAACACAAGGAGAGUGUUAGUAUCUAGAGAAGUGAAGUUUGUUGAAGAAAAAGGAUACUAUGAGGAGCAGACUCAAGAUGAUUUGAGAGAUCUCACUUCUGAUAGAGCUGAAACAUUGAGGAUUAUCCUAGAGGGUCUUGGAAUCAACAUGAAUCAAGGAGGAAGAAGCACUACUCCAGUACCGGAUCAUCAGACCUCCAAUCUUGACCAUGAGGGGGGGAAUGAAACAAGAACUCAAAACCAUGAAGAGACAAGUAGAGAAGAGAGUUCUGGUUCUCAUGAUCAAGCUGAGGAAUCAAAUGAUCAACAAGGAGCUGAAGAGAGUCAGCUAAGGGAAGAAGGAGCUGAAGCAAGUCAGCUAGGAGAAGAAAGAUCUGAACCAAGUGUACUGCCACAAGAAGAAGAACAAGAGAUUGCGCAAGAAGGGCCAGUGUUGAGAAGAAGUACAAGGCUGAGAAAGGAUCCUUCCAGUUGGGUAAACACAAGAGUGUACUACAAUGCCCAAGCUGUGAAGCAUCCUACUCAGGCCGUGUGUUCUUUUGCUAAAUAUCCAGAAGCACAUUGUGCAUUCAUGGUAAACUUAGAUGAGAAUCACAUUCCAAGAAGCUAUGAAGAGGCAAUGAAGGAUAAGGAAUGGAAGGAAUCAGUAGGAGCUGAGGCAGGAGCUAUGAUCAAAAAUGAUACAUGGUAUGAGAGUGAACUACCAAAAGGGAAGAAGGCAGUAUCUAGCAGAUGGAUCUUCACAAUCAAAUACAAGGCUGAUGGGCAGAUUGAGAGGAAGAAGACUAGAUUAGUAUUAGAUUUAGUGAUUUAAAGAGUGAUGAAGUUUAAUCUGAGAAUUAAAGAGAUUGGAGAUUAAGAACAAGAGAGAGAGAGACUCAAAACUCCAUUAGCUUGAUUAAUGAGAGAGUUUACAACAUAUAUAGAUAAGAGAUACAUAUUUUCGUGAUGGUUCAGUCUAGUUAGGAUAAGAAGCAUGUGUAGUCAAAGAUGCCUCAUUCAAACCAGCCAAUAAGGUUCCUCACAUGCUUGGGCAUCUUGCUUUAGCUUUCCAGCCUGUGCCAGCCUGUCUAAAGCUCUCUUCCCUUGACCAGACCUUAUCCAAACUCCUCCUUGCUUAUCCAGACUCCCCAUGUCGUGUUCCACUCUCCAAAUGGAUGCAAGGUAACUUCUCAAGUCUUUUAACUUAGUUACCACAGUAACAAUAAAGUUACUGUGGUAAAUCUCCAAAGUUACUACCUGCUCCAAAUCCCUUCAUCUAUCCAUGUAUCAACUCUUCAUCUCCUCAUCUCAACACUUUAUUCUCUUAUCUCAACACUCCCCCUCAAGCUUGACCAUGUGAAACAAGUCAAGCUUGGAAGAACCAUGAGAUCUCCCUCAUUAAAACCUCAUUAAGGAAAACCCAUUGGGACAAAACCUUAAUGAGGAAAGAGUAGAGAUCACAUGAUCAGGAGAGUGUAUAGACUAGUCCUUAGGCGAGAGAUCAAUGAGUCCUAACCUGAUGUGUAUGGACUCCAUUGUCUUUUGCCUUGCUGCCUUUGUGAACACAUCUGCUAACUGAUCCUCACUCCGAGUAUAACAAGGUAGAAUCACCCCAAGAAUCAUCAUCUGCCUCACCUUGUGACAAUCAACCUCAAUGUGCUUUGUUCUCUCAUGGAACACAGAAUUAGAUGCAAUGUGGAUAGCUGCUUGAUUAUCACAAUGCAUUGUCAUUGGCGUUGCUUGAAUAAUCUCCAGAUGCUUCAAAAUCCCUUUUAUCCACACUAGCUCAUUUGUAAGCUUCAGCAUUGCUCUAUACUCGGCCUCAGCACUGGAGCAAGACACUACCUUCUGCUUCUUACUCUUCCAAGUGACCAAGUUACCACCAAUGAAUGUACAAUAGCCUGUGGUUGAUCUUCUGUCUGCUCGGUCUCCAGCCCAAUCUGCAUCACAAUAGCCUACAACCUCAGUACUCUUGUUACAUCCCAUCCAUACUCCAAGACCAGUAGUUCCAUUCAGAUACAUCAAGAUCCUUUCCACCAUCUGCCAAUGGUGCUCCUUAGGAACUUGCAUGUGUUGACUGACUUGAUUCACCGCAAAACACACAUCAGGUCUAGUAAUGGUGAGAUAAAUCAACUUCCCCACCAGCUUCCUAUAUAGCUUAGGAUCAUGGAACGGCUUGCUAUCCUCAAUCUCCCCCUCACGUGGAACCUUGUAACCAUCCUCCAUUGGCAUCUUGGCUGUCUUUCCUCCAUAGGCAUCUGCUCCCUUCAAGAGAUCAAUCACAUACUUCCUUUGGGACAUAAACAAUCCUUCCUUUGAUCUGCAUAUCUCAAUCCCAAGAAAAUACUUCAUUUCCCCUAAGUCUUUAAUCUCAAAGUUUGCCUUGAGAUACUCCUUUGUAUCCUUGAUGCUUUCCUUAUCACUGCCUGUGAUGAUAAUAUCAUCCACAUACACAAGCAACACCACAAUACCAGAUGAGGUGGUUAGGGUAAAGAGAGUGUGAUCCAAUUCUGACUUUCUGAACCCUCUCCCAUUCAGUGUAGUACUCAACUUGUUGUACCACGCCCUUGGAGACUGCUUGAGACCAUAGAUAGCUUUCCUCAACCUCAACACAUUACCCUUCUUUACUAGAUGUUCAAGGCCUGGUGGUGGAUGCAUGUAUACUUCAUCUUCCAACUCUCCUUGAAGGAAUGCAUUCUUCACAUCCAUUUGCCACAACUCCCACUCAAGAUUCACAGCUAAAGAUAAUACAAUCCUGAUAGUAUGAAGUUUAGCCACAGGAGCAAAGGUCUCAACAUAGUCCUCACCAUAUGUCUGAGUAAAUCCUCUUGCCACCAACCUAGACUUGCGCCUCUCUAUUCUCCCAUCAGGAUGAAACUUGAUUGUGAACACCCAUUUACUAGUCACUGCCUUCUUCCCUUUAGGCAGCUCACUUUCAUACCACGUUUCAUUCUUGAUCAUGGCUCCAGACUCAUCAGCAACUGACUCUCUCCACUCCUUUAAGGCCAUGGCUUCUUCAUAUGUCCUUGGAAUAUAGCUCUCAUCCAAGCUUACUGUGAAGGCUGUAUGCUCGUCCGGAAACUCUACAAAGGAACACAUAGCUUGAGAAGGAUGCUCCACAGCCUGGGCAUUGUAGUACACUCUCGUGUUUACCCAGUUGGAAGCAUCUCUCUUCACCCUUGUGCUCCUCCUUAGCUCCUGAACCUGUUCUUCUUGUGGCUCUUGCCCAUCUUCACUUGAUUGAGCACCACUCUCAUUUGAACCAUUAGGAUCUCCUUCCCACUCUCCACUCUCAUCUGAGCCAGUAGACUCUCUUUGCUCAUCUCCACUAGACUGAGCACCAGUCUCUACUUCCUGUGUCACCUCUUGAUUAUGCUGGCCUGAAUCUUCUUGAUUUUGCACUUGCUCAUGAGAUUCAGUUCCAUUCCCCCUCUCAUGAUCAAGAGGAGUUGCUCUUUCAGCUUCACUAGUCGGAUUGGAAGACUCUCUUCUUCCAGAUUCCUGAUCCUGGGAUAACCCUAUCCCUAGCUUCUCCAACAUCACCCUCAGUGUUGUUGCUCUAUCAGAUGGAGCUUGAGACAAAUCCUUUAGAUUUUCCCACUCCUUUUCUUCAUAAUAUCCUUUUGAUUCAAUAAACUUCACUUCUCUAGAUACCAUCACUCUCCUUGCUUCAGGAUCAUAGCACUUGUAUCCCUUCUGAGUGAUAGAGUAUCCAAUGAACAUAGCCUUAGUACUCUUUGCCUCCAGCUUGUUUCUCUGUUCUCCUGGAGUCAUGACAUAGCACACACACCCAAAUACUCGUAGGUGAUCAAUAAAAGGCUUGCUCUUAUUAAGCACCUCAAAUGGAGACAGAUUCUUCAGUAUCUUGGUUGGGACUCGGUUGAUGAGAUAGCAAGCAGUUUGUACAGCAUCUCCCCAAAAGCGUUUUGGGACAUUUGCAUGAAACAUCAUCGACCUAGCAACCUCCAUCAAGUGCCUAUUCUUCCUCUCAGCUACACCAUUCUGCUGUGGUGUGUAGGGACAACUGGUCUGAUGCACAAUCCCAUGCUUGGCUAGAUGACUCUUAAAGGCAUUGCUGAUGUAUUCACCUCCGUUGUCUGAUCUCAGUACCUUCACAGUGGCAUUGUAUUGAUUAGAUACAUAUGCUUGGAAGUUCAUAAAAGCUUCUAGCACCCUAUCUUUAGAUGGAAGCAAUGUGAGCCAUGUAUACUUAGACUUCUCAUCAAUGAAUGUCACAAAGUAUUUAUGGCUGUCUCUAGACAUGCAUGGAGCGGUCCACACAUCCGAGUGAACUAGAUCAAAGCAAUGCUCAUAAGUAGUCUCAGAUGUUGGGAAAACAGUCCUACAAUGCUUUCCUAAUAUGCAUGCUUCACAAUUCAAGUGAUUGAAUGACAUAUUAGGGAUUAUCAAUUCAAUGGCACGAGCAUGAGGAUGUCCUAAUCUAGCAUGCCAAGUAAUACUAUCAAUCUUCUCAGCAGUACUACUCAAGCAAAUAGAAUCAAAGGGAUUAGAGGUCUUAGCCAAGUCGAGGUGGUAUAGCUGAUUCUUGCUGUCUCCUCUGCCAAUAACUCUCCCAGUCUUCAAAUCUUGAAACUCAACUUCAUCAGGUCUGAAUACUACUUGACAAUCAAGAUCAAUGGUAGCUUUCUUCACAGAUAAUAGAUUUGAAGUGAACUGAGGCAUGUAGAAGGCAGCCGUGUCCUUCUCAAACAGUUUUAGCUUUCCCACUCCUUCUAUUGGGAUCAUGGCACCAUUAGCUAUCAUAACACUCCCUGUUGCAGCCUUGAUCUCACUUAUAAGCCUCCUAUCACUGAUCAUAUGAUGACUUGCUCCAGAAUCAAUCACAAUGGGUUUAGAAGCUCCAGAUUGUAUAGCCUGCUUCCUGCUUGCUGCUAAGGCUUGUACUUGUUCCAUGAACACUCUCCAUUCCUUCCUGGUGAUGCGAUCAUCAGCUCCACUCCCUUUCUCCUGCUCUUUUAACACCCCACUGUCUUCUACUGAUUCCCCCAUGUAGGAUGAGUAAGAACACUCUCCCACAACUCUCUUUCUACCCUUUCCUAUGUUGAUAGAAGCUUUGGAUAGCAUUCUGCACCUCCUCCUCUUCCGGAAGCCCUCACUCCUACUCCCGGUUAGCCUCCAUGAGCUCUCACUCCUACUCAUGGUUAGCUUCUGGAAGCUCUCACUCCUACUCCCAGUUGGCUUCCAUGAGCUCUCACUCCUACUCAUGGUUAGCCUCUCAUCAUCUCUCAUUAUCCCAUACGCCCUUCUUAUAAGCACACAGACCUCUUCCAUUUCCGGAAGCUGUUCCCCUCUUAGAACCAUCUCCACCAGCCACCCAUAUGAUGACUCCAUACUCGCCAAGAGCUUCAGCACCAUCGCUUGCUCUUGUGUAGUAUCCCCAUCUACAUGGGAUCUCAACCCUUGUAGUUCAACCCACAAAUGUUGUAGCUUCCUCACAUGAUUAUUAAACCCUUCUCUUCCUGGUUUAACUUCACUAAUCACCUUCUUGACUUCAUACACUCUCCUAAGACUGAUCUUGUCCUCAUAAACAUCUUCAAUCUUCUCAAGCAGUGUACUUUCUUCAAGACUAAAGCAAUCUCCAUUUGUUUCUCUUGCUGUCUGAUCUUUCUCAGCAGCUUUACCCUUCAAAGACUCUUCCUUCUCAUGGUUUCUCCAAAUUCCACACCUUUUCAGAGUUGUUUUCAUCUGUGAGAACCACUCCCACUCAUUCCCUCUCUCUUUCUUCUCUUCACACCUUGUUGUACCAGAUUGAAGCAGCUCCAUCUUCUUUAGCCUAGAUCUUCACUCAACUGCUUCUAAUCUCACACGCCAAGCUUAACCACAAGCUAGACCCCUCUUCUGACCUUGUCAAACGCCUACAGAGACUCCCUUGAAGCUGACUCUCCAAAAGAAACACCAACAGACACAAACUUGACUUUUAAAGGAUCUAGCUCUUGAAAAAUCUCAAGAACUCUCAAGAACACUCAAGAACACUCAAGAACAUUUGGAACCACGAAAUCACUCUCUCCUUUUAAAGCAACCUGGCUCUGAUACCAUAUUAGAUUUAGUGAUUUAAAGAGUGAUGAAGUUUAAUCUGAGAAUUAAAGAGAUUGGAGAUUAAGAACAAGAGAGAGAGAGACUCAAAACUCCAUUAGCUUGAUUAAUGAGAGAGUUUACAACAUAUAUAGAUAAGAGAUACAUAUUUUCGUGAUGGUUCAGUCUAGUUAGGAUAAGAAGCAUGUGUAGUCAAAGAUGCCUCAUUCAAACCAGCCAAUAAGGUUCCUCACAUGCUUGGGCAUCUUGCUUUAGCUUUCCAGCUGGUGCCAGCCUGUCUAAAGCUCUCUUCCCUUGACCAGACCUUAUCCAAACUCCUCCUUGCUUAUCCAGACUCCCCAUGUCGUGUUCCACUCUCCAAAUGGAUGCAAGGUAACUUCUCAAGUCUUUUAACUUAGUUACCACAGUAACAAUAAAGUUACUGUGGUAAAUCUCCAAAGUUACUACCUGCUCCAAAUCCCUUCAUCUAUCCAUGUAUCAACUCUUCAUCUCCUCAUCUCAACACUUUAUUCUCUUAUCUCAACACUCCCCCUCAAGCUUGACCAUGUGAAACAAGUCAAGCUUGGAAGAACCAUGAGAUCUCCCUCAUUAAAACCUCAUUAAGGAAAACCCAUUGGGACAAAACCUUAAUGAGGAAAGAGUAGAGAUCACAUGAUCAGGAGAGUGUAUAGACUAGUCCUUAGGCGAGAGAUCAAUGAGUCCUAACCUGAUGUGUAUGGACUCCAUUGUCUUUUUGCCUUGCUGCCUUUGUGAACACAUCUGCUAACUGAUCCUCACUCCGAGUAUAACAAGGUAGAAUCACCCCAAGAAUCAUCAUCUGCCUCACCUUGUGACAAUCAACCUCAAUGUGCUUUGUUCUCUCAUGGAACACAGAAUUAGAUGCAAUGUGGAUAGCUGCUUGAUUAUCACAAUGCAUUGUCAUUGGCGUUGCUUGAAUAAUCUCCAGAUGCUUCAAAAUCCCUUUUAUCCACACUAGCUCAUUUGUAAGCUUCAGCAUUGCUCUAUACUCGGCCUCAGCACUGGAGCACGACACUACCUUCUGCUUCUUACUCUUCCAAGUGACCAAGUUACCACCAAUGAAUGUACAAUAGCCUGUGGUUGAUCUUCUGUCUGCUCGGUCUCCAGCCCAAUCUGCAUCACAAUAGCCUACAACCUCAGUACUCUUGUUACAUCCCAUCCAUACUCCAAGACCAGUAGUUCCAUUCAGAUACAUCAAGAUCCUUUCCACCAUCUGCCAAUGGUGCUCCUUAGGAACUUGCAUGUGUUGACUGACUUGAUUCACCGCAAAACACACAUCAGGUCUAGUAAUGGUGAGAUAAAUCAACUUCCCCACCAGCUUCCUAUAUAGCUUAGGAUCAUGGAACGGCUUGCUAUCCUCAAUCUCCCCCUCACGUGGAACCUUGUAACCAUCCUCCAUUGGCAUCUUGGCUGUCUUUCCUCCAUAGGCAUCUGCUCCCUUCAAGAGAUCAAUCACAUACUUCCUUUGGGACAUAAACAAUCCUUCCUUUGAUCUGCAUAUCUCAAUCCCAAGAAAAUACUUCAUUUCCCCUAAAUCUUUAAUCUCAAAGCUUGCCUUGAGAUACUCCUUUGUAUCCUUGAUGCCUUCCUUAUCACUGCCUGUGAUGAUAAUAUCAUCCACAUACACAAGCAACACCACAAUACCAGAUGAGGUGGUUAGGGUAAAGAGAGUGUGAUCCAAUUCUGACUUUCUGAACCCUCUCCCAUUCAGUGUAGUACUCAACUUGUUGUACCACGCCCUUGGAGACUGCUUGAGACCAUAGAUAGCUUUCCUCAACCUCAACACAUUACCCUUCUUUACUAGAUGUUCAAGGCCUGGUGGUGGAUGCAUGUAUACUUCAUCUUCCAACUCUCCUUGAAGGAAUGCAUUCUUCACAUCCAUUUGCCACAACUCCCACUCAAGAUUCACAGCUAAAGAUAAUACAAUCCUGAUAGUAUGAAGUUUAGCCACAGGAGCAAAGGUCUCAACAUAGUCCUCACCAUAUGUCUGAGUAAAUCCUCUUGCCACCAACCUAGACUUGCGCCUCUCUAUUCUCCCAUCAGGAUGAAACUUGAUUGUGAACACCCAUUUACUAGUCACUGCCUUCUUCCCUUUAGGCAGCUCACUUUCAUACCACGUUUCAUUCUUAAUCAUGGCUCCAGACUCAUCAGCAACUGACUCUCUCCACUCCUUUAAGGCCAUGGCUUCUUCAUAUGUCCUUGGAAUAUAGCUCUCAUCCAAGCUUACUGUGAAGGCUGUAUGCUCGUCCGGAAACUCUGCAAAGGAACACAUAGCUUGAGAAGGAUGCUCCACAGCCUGGGCAUUGUAGUACACUCUCGUGUUUACCCAGUUGGAAGCAUCUCUCUUCACCCUUGUGCUCCUCCUUAGCUCCUGAACCUGUUCUUCUUGUGGCUCUUGCCCAUCUUCACUUGAUUGAGCACCACUCUCAUUUGAACCAUUAGGAUCUCCUUCCCACUCUCCACUCUCAUCUGAGCCAGUAGACUCUCUUUGCUCAUCUCCACUAGACUGAGCACCAGUCUCUACUUCCUGUGUCACCUCUUGAUUAUGCUGGCCUGAAUCUUCUUGAUUUUGCACUUGCUCAUGAGAUUCAGUUCCAUUCCCCCUCUCAUGAUCAAGAGGAGUUGCUCUUUCAGCUUCACUAGUCGGAUUGGAAGACUCUCUUCUUCCAGAUUCCUGAUCCUGGGAUAACCCUAUCCCUAGCUUCUCCAACAACACUCUCAGUGUUGUUGCUCUAUCAGAUGGAGCUUGAGACAAAUCCUUUAGAUUUUCCCACUCCUUUUCUUCAUAAUAUCCUUUUGAUUCAAUAAACUUCACUUCUCUAGAUACCAUCACUCUCCUUGCUUCAGGAUCAUAGCACUUGUAUCCCUUCUGAGUGAUAGAGUAUCCAAUGAACAUAGCCUUAGUACUCUUUGCCUCCAGCUUGUUUCUCUGUUCUCCUGGAGUCAUGACAUAGCACACACGCCCAAAUACUCGUAGGUGAUCAAUAAAAGGCUUGCUCUUAUUCAGCACCUCAAAUGGAGACAGAUUCUUCAGUAUCUUGGUUGGGACUCGGUUGAUGAGAUAGCAAGCAGUUUGUACAGCAUCUCCCCAAAAGCGUUUUGGGACAUUUGCAUGAAACAUCAUCGACCUAGCAACCUCCAUCAAGUGCCUAUUCUUCCUCUCAGCUACACCAUUCUGCUGUGGUGUGUAGGGACAACUGGUCUGAUGCACAAUCCCAUGCUUGGCUAGAUGACUCUUAAAGGCAUUGCUGAUGUAUUCACCUCCGUUGUCUGAACUCAGUACCUUCACAGUGGCAUUGUAUUGAUUAGAUACAUAUGCUUGGAAGUUCAUAAAAGCUUCUAGCACCCUAUCUUUAGAUGGAAGCAAUGUGAGCCAUGUAUACUUAGACUUCUCAUCAAUGAAUGUCACAAAGUAUUUAUGGCUGUCUCUAGACAUGCAUGGAGCGGUCCACACAUCCGAGUGAACUAGAUCAAAGCAAUGCUCAUAAGUAGUCUCAGAUGUUGGGAAAACAGUCCUACAAUGCUUUCCUAAUAUGCAUGCUUCACAAUUCAAGUGAUUGAAUGACAUAUUAGGGAUUAUCAAUUCAAUGGCACGAGCAUGAGGAUGUCCUAAUCUAGCAUGCCAAGUAAUACUAUCAAUCUUCUCAGCAGUACUACUCAAGCAAAUAGAAUCAAAGGGAUUAGAGGUCUUAGCCAAGUCGAGGUGGUAUAGCUGAUUCUUGCUGUCUCCUCUGCCAAUAACUCUCCCAGUCUUCAAAUCUUGAAACUCAACUUCAUCAGGUCUGAAUACUACUUGACAAUCAAGAUCAAUGGUAGCUUUCUUCACAGAUAAUAGAUUUGAAGUGAACUGAGGCAUGUAGAAGGCAGCCGUGUCCUUCUCAAACAGUUUUAGCUUUCCCACUCCUUCUAUUGGGAUCAUGGCACCAUUAGCUAUCAUAACACUCCCUGUUGCAGCCUUGAUCUCACUUAUAAGCCUCCUAUCACUGAUCAUAUGAUGACUUGCUCCAGAAUCAAUCACAAUGGGUUUAGAAGCUCCAGAUUGUAUAGCCUGCUUCCUGCUUGCUGCUAAGGCUUGUACUUGUUCCAUGAACACUCUCCAUUCCUUCCUGGUGAUGCGAUCAUCAGCUCCACUCCCUUUCUCCUGCUCUUUUAACACCCCACUGUCUUCUACUGAUUCCCCCAUGUAGGCUGAGUAAGAACACUCUCCCACAACUCUCUUUCUACCCUUUCCUAUGUUGAUAGAAGCUUUGGAUAGCAUUCUGCACCUCCUCCUCUUCCGGAAGCCCUCACUCCUACUCCCGGUUAGCCUCCAUGAGCUCUCACUCCUACUCAUGGUUAGCUUCUGGAAGCUCUCACUCCUACUCCCAGUUGGCUUCCAUGAGCUCUCACUCCUACUCAUGGUUAGCCUCUCAUCAUCUCUCAUUAUCCCAUACGCCCUUCUUAUAAGCACACAGACCUCUUCCAUUUCCGGAAGCUGUUCCCCUCUUAGAACCAUCUCCACCAGCCACCCAUAUGAUGACUCCAUACUCGCCAAGAGCUUCAGCACCAUCGCUUGCUCUUGUGUAGUAUCCCCAUCUACAUGGGAUCUCAACCCUUGUAGUUCAACCCACAAAUGUUGUAGCUUCCUCACAUGAUUAUUAAACCCUUCUCUUCCUGGUUUAACUUCACUAAUCACCUUCUUGACUUCAUACACUCUCCUAAGACUGAUCUUGUCCUCAUAAACAUCUUCAAUCUUCUCAAGCAGUGUACUUUCUUCAAGACUAAAGCAAUCUCCAUUUGUUUCUCUUGCUGUCUGAUCUUUCUCAGCAGCUUUACCCUUCAAAGACUCUUCCUUCUCAUGGUUUCUCCAAAUUCCACACCUUUUCAGAGUUGUUUUCAUCUGUGAGAACCACUCCCACUCAUUCCCUCUCUCUUUCUUCUCUUCACACCUUGUUGUACCAGAUUGAAGCAGCUCCAUCUUCUUUAGCCUAGAUCUUCACUCAACUGCUUCUAAUCUCACACGCCAAGCUUAACCACAAGCUAGACCCCUCUUCUGACCUUGUCAAACGCCUACAGAGACUCCCUUGAAGCUGACUCUCCAAAAGAAACACCAACAGACACAAACUUGACUUUUAAAGGAUCUAGCUCUUGAAAAAUCUCAAGAACUCUCAAGAACACUCAAGAACACUCAAGAACAUUUGGAACCACGAAAUCACUCUCUCCUUUUAAAGCAACCUGGCUCUGAUACCAUAUUAGAUUUAGUGAUUUAAAGAGUGAUGAAGUUUAAUCUGAGAAUUAAAGAGAUUGGAGAUUAAGAACAAGAGAGAGAGAGACUCAAAACUCCAUUAGCUUGAUUAAUGAGAGAGUUUACAACAUAUAUAGAUAAGAGAUACAUAUUUUCGUGAUGGUUCAGUCUAGUUAGGAUAAGAAGCAUGUGUAGUCAAAGAUGCCUCAUUCAAACCAGCCAAUAAGGUUCCUCACAUGCUUGGGCAUCUUGCUUUAGCUUUCCAGCUGGUGCCAGCCUGUCUAAAGCUCUCUUCCCUUGACCAGACCUUAUCCAAACUCCUCCUUGCUUAUCCAGACUCCCCAUGUCGUGUUCCACUCUCCAAAUGGAUGCAAGGUAACUUCUCAAGUCUUUUAACUUAGUUACCACAGUAACAAUAAAGUUACUGUGGUAAAUCUCCAAAGUUACUACCUGCUCCAAAUCCCUUCAUCUAUCCAUGUAUCAACUCUUCAUCUCCUCAUCUCAACACUUUAUUCUCUUAUCUCAACACUCCCCCUCAAGCUUGACCAUGUGAAACAAGUCAAGCUUGGAAGAACCAUGAGAUCUCCCUCAUUAAAACCUCAUUAAGGAAAACCCAUUGGGACAAAACCUUAAUGAGGAAAGAGUAGAGAUCACAUGAUCAGGAGAGUGUAUAGACUAGUCCUUAGGCGAGAGAUCAAUGAGUCCUAACCUGAUGUGUAUGGACUCCAUUGUCUUUUGCCUUGCUGCCUUUGUGAACACAUCUGCUAACUGAUCCUCACUCCGAGUAUAACAAGGUAGAAUCACCCCAAGAAUCAUCAUCUGCCUCACCUUGUGACAAUCAACCUCAAUGUGCUUUGUUCUCUCAUGGAACACAGAAUUAGAUGCAAUGUGGAUAGCUGCUUGAUUAUCACAAUGCAUUGUCAUUGGCGUUGCUUGAAUAAUCUCCAGAUGCUUCAAAAUCCCUUUUAUCCACACUAGCUCAUUUGUAAGCUUCAGCAUUGCUCUAUACUCGGCCUCAGCACUGGAGCAAGACACUAUCUUCUGCUUCUUACUCUUCCAAGUGACCAAGUUACCACCAAUGAAUGUACAAUAGCCUGUGGUUGAUCUUCUGUCUGCUCGGUCUCCAGCCCAAUCUGCAUCACAAUAGCCUACAACCUCAGUACUCUUGUUACAUCCCAUCCAUACUCCAAGACCAGUAGUUCCAUUCAGAUACAUCAAGAUCCUUUCCACCAUCUGCCAAUGGUGCUCCUUAGGAACUUGCAUGUGUUGACUGACUUGAUUCACCGCAAAACACACAUCAGGUCUAGUAAUGGUGAGAUAAAUCAACUUCCCCACCAGCUUCCUAUAUAGCUUAGGAUCAUGGAACGGCUUGCUAUCCUCAAUCUCCCCCUCACGUGGAACCUUGUAACCAUCCUCCAUUGGCAUCUUGGCUGUCUUUCCUCCAUAGGCAUCUGCUCCCUUCAAGAGAUCAAUCACAUACUUCCUUUGGGACAUAAACAAUCCUUCCUUUGAUCUGCAUAUCUCAAUCCCAAGAAAAUACUUCAUUUCCCCUAAAUCUUUAAUCUCAAAGCUUGCCUUGAGAUACUCCUUUGUAUCCUUGAUGCCUUCCUUAUCACUGCCUGUGAUGAUAAUAUCAUCCACAUACACAAGCAACACCACAAUACCAGAUGAGGUGGUUAGGGUAAAGAGAGUGUGAUCCAAUUCUGACUUUCUGAACCCUCUCCCAUUCAGUGUAGUACUCAACUUGUUGUACCACGCCCUUGGAGACUGCUUGAGACCAUAGAUAGCUUUCCUCAACCUCAACACAUUACCCUUCUUUACUAGAUGUUCAAGGCCUGGUGGUGGAUGCAUGUAUACUUCAUCUUCCAACUCUCCUUGAAGGAAUGCAUUCUUCACAUCCAUUUGCCACAACUCCCACUCAAGAUUCACAGCUAAAGAUAAUACAAUCCUGAUAGUAUGAAGUUUAGCCACAGGAGCAAAGGUCUCAACAUAGUCCUCACCAUAUGUCUGAGUAAAUCCUCUUGCCACCAACCUAGACUUGCGCCUCUCUAUUCUCCCAUCAGGAUGAAACUUGAUUGUGAACACCCAUUUACUAGUCACUGCCUUCUUCCCUUUAGGCAGCUCACUUUCAUACCACGUUUCAUUCUUAAUCAUGGCUCCAGACUCAUCAGCAACUGACUCUCUCCACUCCUUUAAGGCCAUGGCUUCUUCAUAUGUCCUUGGAAUAUAGCUCUCAUCCAAGCUUACUGUGAAGGCUGUAUGCUCGUCCGGAAACUCUGCAAAGGAACACAUAGCUUGAGAAGGAUGCUCCACAGCCUGGGCAUUGUAGUACACUCUCGUGUUUACCCAGUUGGAAGCAUCUCUCUUCACCCUUGUGCUCCUCCUUAGCUCCUGAACCUGUUCUUCUUGUGGCUCUUGCCCAUCUUCACUUGAUUGAGCACCACUCUCAUUUGAACCAUUAGGAUCUCCUUCCCACUCUCCACUCUCAUCUGAGCCAGUAGACUCUCUUUGCUCAUCUCCACUAGACUGAGCACCAGUCUCUACUUCCUGUGUCACCUCUUGAUUAUGCUGGCCUGAAUCUUCUUGAUUUUGCACUUGCUCAUGAGAUUCAGUUCCAUUCCCCCUCUCAUGAUCAAGAGGAGUUGCUCUUUCAGCUUCACUAGUCGGAUUGGAAGACUCUCUUCUUCCAGAUACCUGAUCCUGGGAUAACCCUAUCCCUAGCUUCUCCAACAUCACCCUCAGUGUUGUUGCUCUAUCAGAUGGAGCUUGAGACAAAUCCUUUAGAUUUUCCCACUCCUUUUCUUCAUAAUAUCCUUUUGAUUCAAUAAACUUCACUUCUCUAGAUACCAUCACUCUCCUUGCUUCAGGAUCAUAGCACUUGUAUCCCUUCUGAGUGAUAGAGUAUCCAAUGAACAUAGCCUUAGUACUCUUUGCCUCCAGCUUGUUUCUCUGUUCUCCUGGAGUCAUGACAUAGCACACACGCCCAAAUACUCGUAGGUGAUCAAUAAAAGGCUUGCUCUUAUUCAGCACCUCAAAUGGAGACAGAUUCUUCAGUAUCUUGGUUGGGACUCGGUUGAUGAGAUAGCAAGCAGUUUGUACAGCAUCUCCCCAAAAGCGUUUUGGGACAUUUGCAUGAAACAUCAUCGACCUAGCAACCUCCAUCAAGUGCCUAUUCUUCCUCUCAGCUACACCAUUCUGCUGUGGUGUGUAGGGACAACUGGUCUGAUGCACAAUCCCAUGCUUGGCUAGAUGACUCUUAAAGGCAUUGCUGAUGUAUUCACCUCCGUUGUCUGAACUCAGUACCUUCACAGUGGCAUUGUAUUGAUUAGAUACAUAUGCUUGGAAGUUCAUAAAAGCUUCUAGCACCCUAUCUUUAGAUGGAAGCAAUGUGAGCCAUGUAUACUUAGACUUCUCAUCAAUGAAUGUCACAAAGUAUUUAUGGCUGUCUCUAGACAUGCAUGGAGCGGUCCACACAUCCGAGUGAACUAGAUCAAAGCAAUGCUCAUAAGUAGUCUCAGAUGUUGGGAAAACAGUCCUACAAUGCUUUCCUAAUAUGCAUGCUUCACAAUUCAAGUGAUUGAAUGACAUAUUAGGGAUUAUCAAUUCAAUGGCACGAGCAUGAGGAUGUCCUAAUCUAGCAUGCCAAGUAAUACUAUCAAUCUUCUCAGCAGUACUACUCAAGCAAAUAGAAUCAAAGGGAUUAGAGGUCUUAGCCAAGUCGAGGUGGUAUAGCUGAUUCUUGCUGUCUCCUCUGCCAAUAACUCUCCCAGUCUUCAAAUCUUGAAACUCAACUUCAUCAGGUCUGAAUACUACUUGACAAUCAAGAUCAAUGGUAGCUUUCUUCACAGAUAAUAGAUUUGAAGUGAACUGAGGCAUGUAGAAGGCAGCCGUGUCCUUCUCAAACAGUUUUAGCUUUCCCACUCCUUCUAUUGGGAUCAUGGCACCAUUAGCUAUCAUAACACUCCCUGUUGCAGCCUUGAUCUCACUUAUAAGCCUCCUAUCACUGAUCAUAUGAUGACUUGCUCCAGAAUCAAUCACAAUGGGUUUAGAAGCUCCAGAUUGUAUAGCCUGCUUCCUGCUUGCUGCUAAGGCUUGUACUUGUUCCAUGAACACUCUCCAUUCCUUCCUGGUGAUGCGAUCAUCAGCUCCACUCCCUUUCUCCUGCUCUUUUAACACCCCACUGUCUUCUACUGAUUCCCCCAUGUAGGCUGAGUAAGAACACUCUCCCACAACUCUCUUUCUACCCUUUCCUAUGUUGAUAGAAGCUUUGGAUAGCAUUCUGCACCUCCUCCUCUUCCGGAAGCCCUCACUCCUACUCCCGGUUAGCCUCCAUGAGCUCUCACUCCUACUCAUGGUUAGCUUCUGGAAGCUCUCACUCCUACUCCCAGUUGGCUUCCAUGAGCUCUCACUCCUACUCAUGGUUAGCUUCUGGAAGCUCUCACUCCUACUCCCAGUUGGCUUCCAUGAGCUCUCACUCCUACUCAUGGUUAGCCUCUCAUCAUCUCUCAUUAUCCCAUACGCCCUUCUUAUAAGCACACAGACCUCUUCCAUUUCCGGAAGCUGUUCCCCUCUUAGAACCAUCUCCACCAGCCACCCAUAUGAUGACUCCAUACUCGCCAAGAGCUUCAGCACCAUCGCUUGCUCUUGUGUAGUAUCCCCAUCUACAUGGGAUCUCAACCCUUGUAGUUCAACCCACAAAUGUUGUAGCUUCCUCACAUGAUUAUUAAACCCUUCUCUUCCUGGUUUAACUUCACUAAUCACCUUCUUGACUUCAUACACUCUCCUAAGACUGAUCUUGUCCUCAUAAACAUCUUCAAUCUUCUCAAGCAGUGUACUUUCUUCAAGACUAAAGCAAUCUCCAUUUGUUUCUCUUGCUGUCUGAUCUUUCUCAGCAGCUUUACCCUUCAAAGACUCUUCCUUCUCAUGGUUUCUCCAAAUUCCACACCUUUUCAGAGUUGUUUUCAUCUGUGAGAACCACUCCCACUCAUUCCCUCUCUCUUUCUUCUCUUCACACCUUGUUGUACCAGAUUGAAGCAGCUCCAUCUUCUUUAGCCUAGAUCUUCACUCAACUGCUUCUAAUCUCACACGCCAAGCUUAACCACAAGCUAGACCCCUCUUCUGACCUUGUCAAACGCCUACAGAGACUCCCUUGAAGCUGACUCUCCAAAAGAAACACCAACAGACACAAACUUGACUUUUAAAGGAUCUAGCUCUUGAAAAAUCUCAAGAACUCUCAAGAACACUCAAGAACACUCAAGAACAUUUGGAACCACGAAAUCACUCUCUCCUUUUAAAGCAACCUGGCUCUGAUACCAUAUUAGAUUUAGUGAUUUAAAGAGUGAUGAAGUUUAAUCUGAGAAUUAAAGAGAUUGGAGAUUAAGAACAAGAGAGAGAGAGACUCAAAACUCCAUUAGCUUGAUUAAUGAGAGAGUUUACAACAUAUAUAGAUAAGAGAUACAUAUUUUCGUGAUGGUUCAGUCUAGUUAGGAUAAGAAGCAUGUGUAGUCAAAGAUGCCUCAUUCAAACCAGCCAAUAAGGUUCCUCACAUGCUUGGGCAUCUUGCUUUAGCUUUCCAGCUGGUGCCAGCCUGUCUAAAGCUCUCUUCCCUUGACCAGACCUUAUCCAAACUCCUCCUUGCUUAUCCAGACUCCCCAUGUCGUGUUCCACUCUCCAAAUGGAUGCAAGGUAACUUCUCAAGUCUUUUAACUUAGUUACCACAGUAACAAUAAAGUUACUGUGGUAAAUCUCCAAAGUUACUACCUGCUCCAAAUCCCUUCAUCUAUCCAUGUAUCAACUCUUCAUCUCCUCAUCUCAACACUUUAUGAAAUACUUUCUUGGAAUUGAGAUUUGUAGAUCCAAGGAAGGGUUAUUCAUGUCCCAAAGGAAGUAUACACUUGAUCUUUUGAAAGAUGCAGGUGCUUAUGGAGGCAAGACAGCAAGGAUGCCUAUGGAGGAUGGCUACAAAGUACCAAGAGAGGGGGAGAUUGAAGACAGCAAGCCAUUUCAUGAUCCUAAACUCUAUAGAAAACUUGUUGGCAAAUUGAUUUACCUUACCAUCACAAGACCUGACAUAUGUUUUGCUGUGAAUCAGGUGAGUCAACAUAUGCAGCUUCCCAAGGAACAUCAUUGGCACAUGGUGGAGAGGCUACUGAUGUAUCUGAAUGGCUCGCCAGAUCAAGGAGUCUGGAUGGGGUGCAAUGGAAGCACUGAAGUGGUGGGCUAUUGUGAUGCUGAUUGGGCAGGAGAUAGAGCUGAUAGGAGAUCAACAACCGGCUAUUGCACAUUCAUUGGAGGCAACUUAGUUACAUGGAAGAGUAAGAAGCAGAAGGUGGUCUCUUGCUCAAGUGCUGAAGCUGAGUAUAGAGCUAUGCUGAAGCUUACCAACGAGCUGGUGUGGAUCAAAGGCAUCUUGAAGCAUUUGGAGAUUGAUCAAGCCGCACCUAUGACAAUGCAUUGUGAUAACCAAGCAGCUAUUCACAUUGCCUCCAACUCGGUGUUUCAUGAGAGAACCAAGCACAUUGAAGUUGAUUGUCACAAGGUGAGGCAGAUGAUCAUCCUAGGAGUCAUCUUACCAUGCUACACUCGGAGUGAAGAUCAGUUGGCUGAUGUGUUCACUAAGGCUGCAAGACAAAAGACUAUGGAGUCCAUUCACAUUAGAUUGGGACUCAUAGAUCUUGGGAAGGGCUGAUGUAUUCACAAAAGCGGCAAGAAUGAAGACAAUGGAGUCCAUCUACAUCAGGUUGGGACUCGUUGAUCUGUCACCAAGGAGCUGAGCCCCUUACUAUGAGGUCUUUACUCUUUUUCCCUCAUCAAAGUUUUGUCCCAAUGGGUUUUCUUUGGUGAGGUUUUUAAUGAGGAAGAUCUCAUGGCUGUCCAAGCUUAGACUAUCAUAAAGCUAAGCUUGAGGGGGAGUGUUGAGAUGUGUUGAGGUAUAUGUGAAGGCAUUGAGGAGUUAAGGACAUGAGAAAGCUAAGGAGUGAAAGGAAAGGGAGUUAAGAGUAAACUAAGGCAUGGUACGGACGGGCCAUCCGUACACUGACCGUACCAAGGUAAAACUAGGAUGGUAACUUCACCGAGUAACUCUUAUGGACCGAGGUGAAGUUACACUCGACCAAAAGCUUAUCCAGACGUUGGAGUGGAUAAGCUAGGACAGGCUGGCAAGGGCUGGAAAGGAAGAGCAUCUUGGACCAGGAUCAGGAAGAUGCCCGAACGUGUGAAGCUAGUCAUUGGCCGGUUCAAACAAAAGCAAAGGCUCUUCCCUUGACCUCACAUGCUUAUCUACUCUUGUGUUUCGAAAACCCUAAUGUCUAGAACAAUAUAAAUAUGUAACCUCACUCAUUAAUAAGAUCAUACAGUUCUGAGUCUCUCUCUAAUUUCCUAAGUCACCAUGAUUCUCUCUUAGACACUAAACAACUCUCAAGUCUCUUAAUCUUUCAUAAUCUCUUCCUAAUCUCUACUUAAACUCUUACUUAUAUUCUAGUUACUUUAAGGAUCUCUAAAUAUCAUAACGUACUUCUCCUUCACUUGUCCUGCUUGAGGAGCCAGCACCCAUAGAGCUCUCAGUCAUGUGUGCUCUUGCUUCCUUCUCCUUUAAGAACUUAGCCGGCUUUAAGUGAGGGUGGAGUAUCCAGCAUUGACUCUUCUUGUGUCCAUGCUUCUUGCAGUGAUCACAAUUCCCAUUGAACCUCUUGUCUUCAUACUUGCCAUGAGCCGCCUUGUUAGUUUGAGGAGCUUCAGUCUGAUCCACUUGGGACGCAUGAUUCGCCAAUGUGAGCUCUCCUUUGCCUCUAAACAGCCCAAUGGAGCCUUGUUCUUUUUGAAUCUGUGAACACACGUCCUCUAGGUCAGGUAGCUUAUCAGCUCUUAACAUGUGCUUGAUGAGACUGUUGUAGGCCGAGUUUAGUGUGAGCAGCAAGCCAAACACCUUGUCUUGCUCCCGCCUCUCAUUCAACUGAUCUGGAUCAGUUGUACUCGGCCUCAACAUCUCUAGCUCUGACCACAACGCCCUGAAUCUUCCCAAAUGCUUGGUGAACUCCAUGUCUUCUUGUGCAAGGUUGUUGAUAGCUUGCUUUACCUCAAAGACACGGCUCAGGUUCGAAAUGUUCCCAUAGACCUUCUUCAAGGUGUCCCACAGCUCCUUGGCUGACUCACAGUAGCUGUAUGUGUUGAAAUGAGUUGAACAAUAUAUGAGAAGAUAGCUUAAGGAGUUGGGAAUGAGAUAAUGUGAAGGCAAAGAGAAGGAAAGCUUUGGAGUGAUCAGACCGUACAAGGCCGUACCAGCCGUACCAUCCGUACGGUCCGGAUCAAUCCACCACUCGACCAAGAGGAGAAGUUACCGCGUGAAAGAAGUAAACGGCCAAAGGAGUUUUACCUUAGGGGAGAUGACCGUUUGGAUGGAUAGAGUGACUGAGCCUUAUCCACACAGGCUGGAACAGGCUGUAAAGGCAAAAGGAACCUGGUCCAAGAUGCCAAAAACGUGUGACAGCUCCCAUUGGAUCAAGUUUGAAUUAAAGCAACCUUAUCCUUGACCUCACAUGCUUAGUCUCUCUGAAACCCUUGUAUCUGAUCCUAUAUAUUGUAAACUCUGUCUUGAUUAAUAGAUAACACGAGUUUAUGAGUAUCUCUCUCUAGUUCAUCAUGAUAAUCUCAUACACUUUAUCUUAAACACUCUAAUCUCUCUUGAAUCUCUCUUAGACUUCUCAAUACCUUUCUUAUUCUCUAAAAUCAUAGUAUGCCUCCUGAAAGCUAUCAACACACCGGUACAACAUGGAGAGGAGUUCACCAAGCAUUUGGGCAAGUAUAGAUCCUUGUGGUCUGAGCUUGAAUCGUUGAGGCCAAGCACUAAUGAUCAAGAGCUACUCACGGAGAGGAGGGAGCAGGAUCAGGUGUUUGGUUUGCUGUUGACGUUGGAUCCUCCAUUCAACGAUGUGAUCAAGCACAUGUUGAGGAUGCCAAAUCUCCCAUCUAUGGAGGAAGUGUGUGCGCAACUUCAGCAGGAGGAAGGGUCACUUGGUCUCUUUGGAAGCAAGGGAGACUUAGCUCUAGCCAACAAGGCUGAGGAAGGAGCACAAGCUAACCGUGCAGCAUACAAGACUGAUGAGAGGAAGUAUGGUGAUGAGAGGAGGUUUGGAGGCAAUUGUGAUCACUGCAAGAAGUUGGGACACAAGAGGACCCAAUGCUGGAUCCUUCACCCCCAUCUCAAGCCGGCAAAAUUCAACAAAGACCGAGAAGCCAGAGCUAACCUGUCUACUGAAGCAAGUGAGUCCGGUCCAUCAGGAGCAGGCUCAAGUGCACAAGUGGGUGAAAGCGCAGGAAAGGCAAUGGCAACUCACUACACGGCCGCAAAGAGUUUGGAGCAUGAAGUGAUUCGCAAAUCUGACAUUGAUGCCCUCAUCAAAGCUCUUAAGGAGUCUGGUACAUUCGGAAACACUCUUGGUUAUUCUUACACUGCUCAUAUGAUGCCUAGGAAUGAGAAUAGGUUGAUAGAUAUCAUUGAGGAAUUAAAACUGAGAAAUGAAUCACCUAGAACUCAUCUAGCUAGAGGCAUAAAACCAUUGAUUGUUGACUCUGGUGCAUCUCAUCACAUGAUCAGUGAUGAUAGCUUGAUUAAAAACAUAGAACCUGCUCAUGGACAUGUAAUGAUUGCAAAUGGAGAUAGAAUUCCCAUUAAAGAUGUAGGAGACUUAAAGCUAUUUGAUAAGAACUCUAAAGCAUUUUACAUGCUUGAUUUCACUUCUAAUCUCUUAUCUGUUAAAAGAUGUACCAAUGAUCUACAAUGCAAUGUUAUCUUUAGUCCUAACAAUGCGACAUUUCAGGAUAUUGAGAGCAAUAAGUUGAUUGGACAAGGAGUAACCAAGGGAGAUCUUUAUGUACUUGAAGAUAUUAAUCCCAUUUCUAGUUGUUUGCUGAGUUCUGUUUUAAGUAAAGGUGCAUUAUGGCAUUCUAGGCUAGGACAUCCACAUGUUAGAGCCUUAAGCUUAAUGUUACCAGGUGUCAUGUUUAAAAAUAAUGAUUGUGAGGCUUGUAUUUUGGGAAAACAUUGUAAGACUGUGUUUAAAAGAUCUACUACUAUCUAUGAUAAGUGUUUUGAUCUUGUUCACUCUGAUGUAUGGACUGCUCCCUGCUUAUCUAGAGAUAAUUACAAGUACUUUGUCACAUUUAUAGAUGAAAAAUCUAAGUACACCUGGAUAACACUCAUUAAAACAAAGGAUAGGGUUCUUGAUGCAUUUAAAAACUUCCAAGCUUAUAUAUCUAACCAGUAUAAUGCCAAGAUUAAGAUUUUCAGGUCUGAUAAUGGUGGAGAAUAUACUGGUAAUGCUUUCAAGAGUCAUCUAGCUCACCAUGGGAUUCUACAUCAGACAAGUUGUCCAUACACUCCUCAACAGAAUGGUGUAGCCGAGAGAAAGAAUAGACACCUAAUGGAGGUGGCAAGGUCUAUGAUGUUUCACACAAGUGUGCCUAAAAGAUUCUGGAGUGAUGCUGUGAUCUCGGCUUGUUAUCUGAUCAAUAGGAUACCAACCAAGAUCUUGGAGGAUCAGGCACCUUAUGAAGUUCUAAACAGAAACAAACCUGUGCUGGAUCACUUAAGAGUCUUUGGAUGUGUGUGCUUUGUACUCGUACCCAGGGAGCUAAGGAAUAAGCUAGAAGCAAAGAGCACAAGAGCCAUGUUCAUUGGCUACUCAACAUCACAAAAGGGAUAUAAAUGCUAUGAUUCAGAAGCCAGGAGAGUUCUUGUGUCUAGAGAUGUUAAGUUCUUGGAGGAUAAGAGCUUUUAUGGAGAUAGAAAGUGGGAAGAUCUUGAAGAUUUGUCUCAACCAUCUGAUAGAGCUACAAGUCUUAGGCGUGUACUAGAAGGACUUGGAAUCAACAUGUCCCAGGAUCAGCAACCAACCAAGGAGAAUGAAGCUGAAGAACCAUCACACCAUGAUCAUGAAGGGGGAAAUGAGACUGAGCCUGAAGAUCAUGAAGAUCAAGACUCAGAUAGUCAUGGUCAAGGUGUGAUACAAAGCGAGGAAGAAGUCAUUCAAGAAGUGGAACCAGAUGAAGUAGAAGGGGAAGCAGUUCAGCCUACGGUGGUGGAGGUGGAACCAGUUCCAUUAAGGAGAAGCACACGGUUGAAGAAGGAUGUUUCCAACUGGGUAAACACGAGAGUGUACUACAAUGCUCAGGCUGUGAAGCAUCCCUCUCAGGCUGUGUGUUCUUUUGCUAGUUACCCAAAGGAACAUUGCGCUUUCAUUACAAGCUUAGAUGGAAGUAGUGUACCAAGAUCAUAUGAAGAAGCAAUGCUACAUGAAGAUUGGAAAGAAUCAGUGGGUGAUGAAGCUAAUGCUAUGAUAAAGAAUGAUACUUGGUUUGAAAGUGAGUUGCCAAAAGGGAAGAAGGCUGUAACAAGCAAGUGGAUAUUCACUAUCAAGUAUCUACCUGAUGGAACCAUUGAGAGGAAGAAGACAAGAUUGGUGGAUAGAGGAUACACUCAAACAUAUGGGGAAGACUACAUUGAUACCUUUGCUCCUGUUGCCAAGCUACAUACUAUAAGGAUUGUAUUGUCUCUUGCUGUGAACCUUGAGUGGGAGCUUUGGCAGAUGGAUGUGAAGAAUGCCUUUCUUCAAGGAGAGCUAGAGGAUGAAGUAUAUAUGCAUCCACCACCAGGCCUAGAGCAUCUUGUGAAACCUGGAAAUGUAUUGAGACUCAAGAAGGCUAUCUAUGGAUUGAAGCAAUCUCCUAGAGCAUGGUACAACAAAUUGAGCACUACCUUAAACGGACGGGGGUUCAAGAAGUCUGAACUAGAUCACACUCUAUUCACUCUCACUACACCCUCAGGUAUUAUUUGCCUACUUGUAUAUGUUGAUGACAUUAUAAUAACAGGUAGUGAUAAGGCUGGUAUAAAAGCCACAAAGGAGUUUUUGAAAUCUGUAUUUGAAAUCAAAGACUUAGGAGAAAUGAAAUACUUCCUUGGAAUUGAGUUGUGUAGAUCUAAGGAAGGAUUGUUCAUUUCCCAAAGGAAGUAUACAUUUGAUCUUUUGAAAGAUGCAGGUAUACAAGGAGAUAAGACAGCAAAGAUGCCCCUUGAAGAUGGAUACAAGAUUCCACGUGAGGGGGAGGUUGAAGAUAGCAAGGCCUUUCAUGAUCCAAAGCUAUACAGGAAGCUGGUAGGGAAGCUCAUCUAUCUCACUAUCACAAGACCAGACAUAUGCUUUGCUGUGAAUCAAGUGAGCCAGCAUAUGCAAGUCCCAAAGGAACAUCACUGGCGCAUGGUGGAGAGACUUCUCUUGUAUCUGAACGGGACAUCAAGCCUUGGAGUAUGGAUGGGAUGCAACAAGAGUACUGAAGUGGUGGGAUAUUGUGACGCUGAUUGGGCUGGAGAUAGAGCAGACAGAAGAUCAACCACCGGCUAUUGUACAUUCAUUGGAGGCAACUUGGUGACUUGGAAGAGCAAGAAGCAGAAGGUGGUAUCGUGUUCAAGUGCUGAAGCUGAGUAUAGAGCAAUGCUGAAGCUUACAAAUGAGUUGGUAUGGAUUAAAGGGAUCUUGAAGCAUUUGGAGAUAGAGCAAGUGACUCCAAUGACUAUGCACUGUGAUAAUCAAGCGGCUAUACACAUUGCAACCAACUCAGUCUUCCAUGGUCACAAGGUGAGGCAGAUGAUUGUCUUGGGAGUAAUCAUGCCAUGCUAUACGAGGAGUGAGGAUCAACUUGCGGAUGUGUUCACCAAGGCAGCAAGACAAAAGACUAUGGAGUCCAUUCACAUCAGAUUGGGACUCAUAGAUCUUACACCACGGAGCUGAUCCCCUUAGCCAUGAGCUCUUCACUCUUUUUCCCUCAUCAAAGUUUUGUCCCAAUGGGUUUUCUUUGGUGAGGUUUUUAAUGAGGAAGAUCUCAUGGUUGUUCCAAGCUUAACUAAGUUACUAAGUUAAGCUUGAGGGGGAGUGUUGAAAUGAGUUGAACAAUAUAUGAGAAGAUAGCUUAAGGAGUUGGGAAUGAGAUAAUGUGAAGGCAAAGAGAAGGAAAGCUUGGGAGUGAUCAGACCGUACAAGGCCGUACCGGCCGUACCAUCCGUACGGUCCGGAUCAAUCCACCACUCGACCAAGAGGAGAAGUUACCGCGUGAAAGAAGUAAACGGCCAAAGGAGUUUUACCUUAGGGGAGAUGACCGUUUGGAUGGAUAGAGUGACUGAGCCUUAUCCACACAGGCUUGAACAGGCUGUAAAGGCAAAAGGAACCUGGUCCAAGAUGCCAAAAACGUGUGACAGCUCCCAUUGGAUCAAGUUUGAAUUAAAGCAACCUUAUCCUUGACCUCACAUGCUUAGUCUCUCUGAAACCCUUGUAUCUGAUCCUAUAUAUUGUAAACUCUGUCUUGAUUAAUAAACACCACGAGUUUAUGAGUAUCUCUCUCUAGUUCAUCAUGAUAAUCUCAUACACUUUCUCUUAAACACUCUAAUCUCUCUUCAAUCUCUCUUAGACUUCUCAAUACCUUUCUUAUUCUCUAAAAUCAUAAAAUCGCGAUGUAAGAAGCUGUAUUUCUAUACAAAAAGUAGUGGAGAAUCACCAGGAAGUGGAAUAAAUCUCAUAGGAGUUAGGAUGAAGAAGUUAUCCCACUUUCAAAUCAGGUGAUCCCAGUUUUCCUGUUUGGGAAUAUGACAACUUCCUCGUCAUUCUGAUCAAACCAGGAUGAAUCGCGAUGUAAAGAGCUGUAUUUGGAUAUAUAAAGUAGUGGAUAAUCACCAGGAAGUUGAAUAAAUCUCAUAGGAGUUAGGAUGAAGAAGUUAUCCCACUUUUAAAUCAGGUAAUCCCAGUUUUCCUGUUUGGGAAUAUGUAAACUUCCUCGUCAUUCUAAUCAAACCAAGAUGAAUCGCGAUGUAAGAAGCUGUAUUUGGAUACAUAAAGAAGUGGAGAAUCACCAGGAAGUGGAAUAAAUCUCAUAGGAAUUAGGAUGAAGAAGUUAUCCCACUUUCAAAUCAGGUGAUCCCAGUUUUCCUGUUUGGGAAUAUGACAACUUCCUCGUCAUUAUGAUCAAACCAGGAUGAAUCGCGAUGUAAGAAGCUGGAUUUGGAUACAUAAAGUUGUGGAGAAUCACCAGGAAGUGGAAUAAAUCUCAUAGGAAUUAGGAUGAAGAAAUUAUCCCACUUUCAAAUCAGGUGAUCCCAGUUUUCCUGUUUGGGAAUAUGACAACUUCCUCGUCAUUCUGAUCAAACCAGGAUGAAUCGCGAUGUAAGAAGCUGUAUUUGGAUACAUAAAGUAGUGGAGAAUCACCAGGAAGUGGAAUAAAUCUCAUAGGAAUUAGGAUGAAGAAGUUAUCCCACUUUCAAAUCAGGUGAUCCCAGUUUUCCUGUUUGGGAAUAUGACAACUUCCUCGUCAUUCUAAUCAAAUCAGGAUGAAUCGCGAUGUAAGAAGCUGUAUUUGUAUACAAAAAGUAGUGGAGAAUCACCAGGAAGUGGAAUAAUUCUCAUAGGAAUUAGGAUGAAGAAGUUAUCCCACUUUCAAAUAAGGUGAUCCCAGUUUUCCUGUUUGGGAAUAUGACAACUUCCUCGUCAUUCUAAUCAAACCAGGAUGAAUCGCGAUGUAAGAAGCUGUAUUUGGAUACAUAAAGUAGUGGAGAAUCACCAGGAAGUGGAAUAAAUCUCAUAGGAGUUAGGAUGAAGAAGUUAUCCCACUUUCAAAUAAGGUGAUCCCAGUUUUCCUGUUUGGGAAUAUGACAACUUCCUCGUCAUUCUAAUCAAAUCAGGAUGAAUCGCGAUGUAAGAAGCUGUAUUUGGAUACAUAAAGUAGUGGAGAAUCACCAGGAAGUGGAAUAAUUCUCAUAGGAAUUAGGAUGAAGAAGUUAUCCCACUUUCAAAUCAGGUGAUCCCAGUUUUCCUGUUUGGGAAUAUGACAACUUCCUCGUCAUUCUAAUCAAACCAGGAUGAAUCGCGAUGUAAGAAGCUGUAUUUGGAUACAAAAAGUAGUGGAGAAUCACCAGGAAGUGGAAUAAUUCUCAUAGGAAUUAGGAUGAAGAAGUUAUCCCACUUUCAAAUCAGGUGAUCCCAGUUUUUCUGUUUGGGAAUUUGACAACUUCCUCGUCAUUCUGAUCAAACCAGGAUGAAUCGCGAUGUAAGAAGCUGUAUUUGGAUACAUAAAGUAGUGGAGAAUCACCAGGAAGUGGAAUAAAUCUCAUAGGAGUUUGGAUGAAGAAGUUAUCCCACUUUCAAAUCAGGUGAUCCCAGUUUUCCUGUUUGGGACUAUGACAACUUCCUCGUCAUUCUGAUCAAACCAGGAUGCGCGAUGUAAGAAGCAGUAUUUGGAUACAUAAAUUUGUGGAGAAUCACCAGGAAGUUGAAUAAAUCUCAUAGGAGUUCGGAUGAAGAAGUUAUCCCACUUUCAAAUCAAGUGAUCCUAGUUUUCCUAUUUAGGAAUAUGACAACUUCCUCGUCAUUCUGAUCAAACCAGGAUGAAUCGCGAUGUAAGAAGCUAUAUUUGGAUACAUAAAGUUGUGGAGAAUCACCAGGAAGUAGAAUAAAUCUCAUAGGAGUUAGGAUGAAGAAGUUAUCCCACUUUCAAAUCAGGUGAUCCCAGUUUUCCUGUUUGGGAAUAUGACAACUUCCUCGUCAUUCUGAUCAAACCAGGAUGAAUCGCGAUGUAAAAAGCUGUAUUUGGAUAUAUAAAGUAGUGGAGAAUCACCAGGAAGUUGAAUAAAUCUCAUAGGAGUUAGGAUGAAGAAGUUAUCCUACUUUCAAAUCAGGUGAACCCAGUUUUCCUGUUUGGGAAUAUGACAACUUCCUCGUCAUUCUGAUCAAACCAGGAUGAAUCACGAUGUAAGAAGCUGUAUUUGGAUACAUAAAUUAGUGGAGAAUCACCAGGAAGUGGAAUUAAUCUCAUAGGAAUUAGGAUGAAGAAGUUAUCCCACUUUCAAAUCAGGUAAUCCCAGUUUUCCUGUUUGGGAAUAUGUAAACUUCCUCGUCAUUCUAAUCAAACAAGGAUGAAUCGCGAUGUAAGAAGCUGUAUUUGGAUACAUAAAGAAGUGGAGAAUCACCAGGAAGUGGAAUAAAUCUCAUAGGAAUUAGGAUGAAGAAGUUAUCCCACUUUCAAAUCAGGUGAUCCCAGUUUUCCUGUUUGGGAAUAUGACAACUUUGUUGAGAAGAAGGCAUUAGAUGAUGAGAUGGAUUGUUAAUAAGAGAGUGAGGCUUAGGAGAGCAAUGGGUUGGAGGAAUGAGUUUGGGAGAGGCUAGGCCGUACAGGCCGUACCAUGACCGUACAGGCCGUACCAUGGCCGUACAAGAGGAACUCGACAAAGAUCACUCAUUAAGGGAAGUUACUACACUCGGUUAACUUAAGAGGUAAAGGAGAAGUCUUACUAACCCUUUACUGAUGUUACCGUGUGGAGAGGAUAAGGGAAGAGCUUAUGACAGGCUGUCAGGAGCUGUGUAAAGGUAAAGGUGCUUUACACACAAGGAAGAGCUUAAUUGGACAGUUUGAAUUAAAGUAGAAUCUUAUCCUAUGUAAUAGUGUGCUUUCUGAAACCCUUAACCCACGAGCUGCCUCUCUAUAUAUUGUAACAUCUGGUCAUUAAUAAUAUUUAGACAGUUCAGACUAUCCUUUGCCUCCAUGGCUUACUCGUAGUCUCUUACUCUCAACUCGUUCUCUACCCUUAGUUUCUCUCUAGUCUCUUUCAAAUCUAUUCUAAACACUCAGAUUACUCUUCAUUACUCUAAACUUUCAUGGUAUCAGAGCCAGGUUCAUGAGAAUCUGAGUUCUUGGUGAGAUCUGCUAGAACACAAGGUUGAAGCUUGGAGCUGGGCGUGAAGAUUCAAAACUUCAAGUCUUCUCCGGUUGAGUCCUAGUCCGAGAAGGUGUGUCUGGUUGAGUUCACUGAUAGUUUCUAUUGAGAGUCCUGGUUCCGUGUGUUGGGUUAUUACUCUUUGUGGCUUGCGUGUUCAUAAAGGGGGUUGAUUGAAACGUAAACAUCAAGAAACAUCAAGAGUGUUACUUGAGUGCUUGCGGGUUUGGUGAUUUAAGCUAGUCAGUUGAAGAAGAUCCAGUCUAUUUCCGUGUGUAGUUUCUAGUCUCAGUCCAAGAUUUGGCAAGCUGUUAACGUCAAGCUGCUUCAAGAUGGAUAGUGGGAUGAAGAUGAAGGUGGCGGUUGUGUUCAAGGGGAACAACUACCUAGUGUGGUCACGAAUGGUGAGGACCGCAGUUGGGAGCAAGGGCUUAUGGGGACACAUUACAUCAGGUGAGGCCCCAAAGCUGAUUGCUCAAGAAGAAGACAAGGAUGAAGCAUCAAGAGAUCCGGUUGAGAAAUGGCAACAAGAAGACAUGAUGGUGAUGUCAGUUCUUCAUGCCUCCUUAGAGCCGGAGAUUCUGAAUGCAUACAGUUACUGUGAGACAGCAAAGGAGCUGUGGGACACCUUGAAGAAAGUGUAUGGAAACACAUCUAACUUGAGUAGAGUCUUUGAGGUGAAGCAGGCGAUUAACAACUUGGUUCAGGAAGACAUGGAGUUUACCAAGCACCUAGGACGGUUCAGGUCACUUUGGUCCGAGCUAGAGAUGUUGAGGCCAAGCACGGUUGAUCCCAAUGAGCUAAACAAGAGACGCGAGCAGGACAAGGUCUUUGGACUACUCUUGACACUGAAUCCGGUGUACAAUGGGCUCAUACAACACAUGCUGAGGGAUGAGACACUACCUGACUUGGAAGAAGUGUGCUCUCUAUGAUAUUUAAGGAUGUAAAUGAUUAUCUGAGUUUAGAAAGGAUUAUAGAAGGAGAAUAAGAGAUUAAGAGACAGAUUAGAGACUAAUGGAGAAUCAUAAUGAAAUGAGUAAAGAGAGAGAUUGUUUAGAACUGUCUGAUCUUUAUUAAUGGAUGAGAUUACAUAUAUAUAUGUCCAUACACUUAGGGUUUUCGAACUCAUAAAGAUAAGUAAGCAUGUAGAGUCAAAGGGGAGCCUAAGCUUUAAUUUGAACCGGCCAAUGAGUGUCUCCACACGUUUGGAGCAUCUUCUUGAUCCAAGACUAGAUGCUCUUCCUUUCCAGCUCUUGCCAGCCUGUCCUAGCUGUCAAGCCGCGUCUCCCUUAUCCUCUCAACGUUCGGAUAAGGCCUUGGCCGAGUGUAACUUAAGCUCAGUACAUAGAAGUUACUUGGAUAGUUACUUGGUCUCUUUUACCUUGUACGGAUGAUCACUUGUACGGCCUGGUACGGCCUCUCCGUCCGUACCAUCUCUAUCAACCCAUUCCUCCUCUUAACUUCUUUGCUCUCUUUAUGUUCUCAACUCCUUUGUGUCUUUACUUCAAAUGUAUCAACUCAUCUCAACACUCCCCCUCAAGCUUAGCUUUGUGAAAGUCUAAGCUUGGAUGGCUAUGAGAUCUUCCUCAUUAAAAACCUCACCAAGGAAAACCCAUUGGGACAAAACCUUGAUGAGGGAAAAAGAGUAAAGACCUCACAGCCAAGAGGAUCAGCUCCUUCUCUUCCCAAGAUCAAUGAGGCCCAACCUGAUAUGAAUGGACUCCAUUGUCUUCUGUCUUACAGCCUUGGUGAACACAUCAGCCAACUGAUCUUCACUCCUCGUGUAACAUGGCAAGAUGACUCCUAGAAUGAUCAUUUGCCUCACCUUGUGGCAAUCAACUUCAAUGUGCUUGGUUCUCUCAUGAAACACCGAGUUGGAUGCAAUGUGAAUGGCUGCUUGGUUAUCACAAUGCAUUGUCAUUGGCAUGGCUUGAUCAAUCUCCAAAUGCUUCAAGAUGCCUUUGAUCCACACCAACUCGUUGGUAAGCUUCAGCAUAGCUCUAUACUCAGCUUCUGCACUUGAGCAAGAGACCACCUUCUGCUUCUUACUCUUCCAUGUCACCAAGUUGCCUCCAAUGAAUGUGCAAUAGCCUGUGGUUGAUCUCCUGUCUGCUCUAUCACCAGCCCAAUCUGCAUCACAGUAUCCAACCACUUCAGUGCUUCCAUUGCAACCCAUCCAUAUUCCUUGAUCAGGUGAGCCGUUGAGAUACAUCAAGAUCCUCUCCACCAUGUGCCAAUGAUGCUCCUUAGGAACUUGCAUGUGUUGACUCACCUGAUUCACAGCAAAACAAAUGUCAGGUCUAGUUAUGGUAAGAUAAAUCAAUUUGCCAACUAGUUUUCUAUAGAGUUUAGGAUCCUGAUAAGGUUUGCUGUCUACAAUCUCCCCCUCUCGUGGGACUUUGUAACCAUCCUCCAUAGGCAUCCUUGCUGUCUUGCCUCCAUAAGCACCUGCACCUUUCAAAAGAUCAAGUGUAUACUUCCUUUGGGACAUGAAUAAACCUUCCUUGGUUCUACAUAUCUCAAUUCCAAGAAAGUAUUUCAUUUCUCCCAAAACUUUAAUCUCAAACAUGGAUUUAAGGAACUCCUUGGUUGCUAUGAUACCUUCCUUAUCACUUCCUGUGAUAAUAUAUCAUCAACAUACACAAAAAGUGCAAUCAUAGCUGAGGGAGUCGUGAGUGUGAAGAGAGUGUGGUCUAGUUCAGACUUCUUGAAGCCUCGGCCAUUCAGAGUAGUGCUCAGCUUGUUGUACCAAGCUCUUGGUGAUUGCUUCAGCCCAUAGAUAGCUUUCUUCAAUCUUAACACAUUCCCUCUCUUCACUAAGUGUUCCAGGCCUGGAGGUGGAUGCAUAUAUACUUCAUCCUCAAGUUCACCUUGUAGGAAUGCAUUCUUCACAUCCAUUUGCCAUAACCCCCAUCCAAGAUUCACAGCCAAGCUUAAUACAAUCCGUAUUGUAUGUAGUUUAGCUACUGGUGCAAAGGUUUCUAUGUAAUCUUCUCCAUAAGUUUGAGUGAAACCUCUUGCUACUAGCCUUGACUUCUUCCUUUCAACCUUUCCAUCAGCCUUAUACUUGAUUGUGAAUAUCCAUUUACUACUUACAGCCUUCUUCCCUUUUGGUAACUCACUUUCAUACCAUGUAUCAUUCUUGAUCAUGGCUCCUGCCUCAGCUCCAACUGAUUCCUUCCAUUCUUUAUCCAUGAUAGCUUCUUCAUAGCUUCUUGGAAUAUAGUUCUCAUCCAAGUUAACCAUGAAUGCACAAUGUUCUUCAGGGUAUUGAGCAAAGGAACACACAACUUGAGAAGGAUGCUCCACAGCUUGGGCAUUGUAGUACACUCGCGUGUUUACCCAAGAGGAAGGAUCCUUUCUAAGCCUUGUGCUUCUCCUCAAUACUGGUUGUUCUUGCACUUGAACUGGCUCAUCUUGUGUAUGCGGUUCUUGUGCUUCACUUUGAUGUUCUUCAUCUCCUCGGUCUUGCUCACCUUGAUGAUGAGAACCUGAGUUGAACUCUUCUCCUUCUUCACUCAAGCCGACUCCUUCUUGGCCAUUUUCUUGAGUUUCAGGUUCACUUCCCCCCUCAUGAUCAAGGUGAGGUGUUUGAGCAGCUCUACUUGGUUCAGUUGAGCUCUCUUCUGGUUGUCCACUUCUUGUGGACUGAUUCUGGUUCAUCUUGAUACCGAGACCUUCCAAAAUAAUCCUUAAGACUCCAGCCUUAUCUGAUGUAAGAUACCUCAAGUCUUCUUGAUUCUUCUCUUCAUAGUAUCCUCUUUCUUCAAUAAACUUCACAUCUCUAGAUACAAGUACCCUUCUAGCUUCUGGAUCAUAACACUUAUAUCCUUUUUGAGUUGUUGAGUAGCCAAUGAACAUUGCCUUUCUGCUUCUUGCUUCUAGAUUGUUCCUCAACUCUCCUGGUACCAACACAUAGCGUAAGCAUCCAAACACUCUCAUGUAUGCCAAGGAUGGCUUGCGCUUGUUUAGUACUUCAAAUGGUGCUUGAUCCUUCAACACCCUUGUCGGCAUUCGGUUGAUUAGAUAGCAAGCAGUGGAUACAGCAUCACUCCAGAAUCUCUUAGGUACAUUGGCUUGGAACAUCAAUGACCGAGCCACCUCCAUCAAGUGCCUGUUCUUCGUCUCAGCUACACCAUUCUGUUGUGGUGUGUAGGGACAGCUUGUUUGAUGAAGUAUUCCAUGAUGAUCUAGAUGACUUUUGAACGCAUAGCUUGUGUACUCUGCUUGGAACAUUAAUGACCGAGCCACCUCCAUCAAGUGCCUGUUCUUCGUCUCAGCUACACCAUUCUGUUGUGGUGUGUAGGGACAGCUUGUUUGAUGAAGUAUUCCAUGAUGAUCUAGAUGACUUUUGAACGCAUAGCUUGUGUACUCUCCUCCAUUAUCUGAUCUCAAAAUUUUAAUCUUAGCAUGAUAAUGGUUAGUCACAUAAGCUUGAAAGUUCUUAAAUGCAUCUAUCACCCUAUCUUUUGAUGGAAUUAGUGUUAACCAGGUGUAUUUAGAUUUUUCAUCAAUGAAUGUGACAAAAUACUUAUGAUUGUCUCUAGAGAAACUAGGUGCAGUCCACACAUCAGUAUGAAUCAAAUCAAAGCAAUUUUCAUAAACAGUAGAUGUUCUUGGAAACACAUUCUUACAAUGCUUGCCUAAAAUGCAAGCUUCACACUUAUCAUUUUCAAAAAACCACACCUGGUAACAUCAAGUUUAAAGCCCUCUCAUGGGGAUGACCUAGUCUAGCAUGCCACAAUGCAUUUUUAUUCAAACUAGAAGCAGAAGUAAAUGAGCAGUUAUGAUUGGAAACAGGAUCAAGCUUCUCAAGCAUGUAUAACUCUCCCUUUGUCACUCCUUUUCCAAUCAAUUGGCUGCUCUCAAUAUCCUGAAACUUCACAUCAUUAGGACUGAAUAUAACAUUGCAAUUCAAAUCAGUAGUGCAUUUCUUAACUGAAAGUAGAUUUGAUGUGAAUUCAGGAAUAUAAAAUGCUCUAGUGUUCUUAUCAAAUAGCUUUAAGUUUCCUAUUCCCUUAAUAGGUAUCUUAUCUCCAUUUGCAAUCAUCACAUAUCCAUUAGUAGGUUUUAUAUCUUUAAUCAGGUUGGUGUCACUAAUCAUAUGAUGAGAUGCACCUGAAUCUAUAAUCAAUGGUUUGGAUGCAUUGCUAACAUGAUGGCAGAUACAUUUUGAUCUAUAUGCAUUCAUCCUAGCAUUUCUAUCAAUGCAAUGCUCAAUUCCAGCCUUACUAUCAAUCCUAGCAACCUCAGCCUCACUGUGAGUCAUUUCUAUAGUUCUAGCUAUGAGAUUUAAGGAUGUAAAUGAUUAUCUGAGUUUAGAAAGGAUUAUAAAAGAGAAUAAGAGAUUAAGAGACAGAUUAGAGACUAAUGGAGAAUCAUAAUGAAAUGAGUAUAGAGAGAGAUUGUUUAGAACUGUCUAAUCUUUUAUUAAUGAGAGAGUUUACAAUAUAUAGACUUUAGAUCCUAGGGCUUCAUAAGGAUAAAGUAGAACAAGCAUGUGUAGUCAAUGAAGAGAGGCGCGCCUAAUUCAAACUGAGCCAAUGAGGAGCUUCACAUGUGUGACCGGAAUCUUCUCCUUCUUCACUCAAGCCGACUCCUUCUUGGCCAUUUUCUUGAGUUUCAGGUUCACUUCCCCCCUCAUGAUCAAGGUGAGGUGUUUGAGCAGCUCUACUUGGUUCAGUUGAGCUCUCUUCUGGUUGUCCACUUCUUGUGGACUGAUUCUGGUUCAUCUUGAUACCGAGACCUUCCAAAAUAAUCCUUAAGACUCCAGCCUUAUCUGAUGUAAGGUCCCUCAAGUCUUCUUGAUUCUUCUCUUCAUAGUAUCCUCUUUCUUCAAUGAACUUCACAUCUCUAGAUACAAGUACCCUUCUAGCUUCUGGAUCAUAACACUUAUAUCCUUUUUGAGUUGUUGAGUAGCCAAUGAACAUUGCCUUUCUGCUUCUUGCUUCUAGCUUGUUCCUCAACUCUCCUGGCACCAACACAUAGCAUAAGCAUCCAAAACUCUCAUGUAUGCCAAGGAUGGCUUGCGCUUGUUUAGGACUUCAAAUGGUGCUUGAUCCUUCAACACCCUUGUAGGCAUUCGGUUGAUUAGAUAGCAAGCAGUGGAUACAGCAUCACUCCAGAAUCUCUUAGGUACAUUGGCUUGGAACAUUAAUGACCGAGCCACCUCCAUCAAGUGCCUGUUCUUCCUCUCCGCUACACCAUUCUGUUGUGGUGUGUAGGGACAGCUUGUUUGAUGAAGUAUUCCAUGAUGAUCUAGAUGACUUUUGAACGCAUAGCUUGUGUACUCUCCUCCAUUAUCUGAUCUCAAAAUUUUAAUCUUAGCAUGAUAAUGGUUAGUCACAUAAGCUUGAAAGUUCUUAAAUGCAUCUAUCACCCUUUCUUUUGAUGGAAUAAGUGUUAACCAGGUGUAUUUAGAUUUUUCAACAAUGAAUGUGACAAAAUACUUAUGAUUGUCUCUAGAGAAACUAGGUGCAGUCCACACAUCAGUAUGAAUCAAAUCAAAGCAAUUUUCAUAAACAGUAGAUGUUCUUGGAAACACAUUCUUACAAUGCUUGCCUAAGAUGCAAGCUUCACACUUAUCAUUUUCAAAAACCACACCUGGUAACAUCAAGUUUAAAGCCCUCUCAUGGGGAUGACCUAGUCUAGCAUGCCACAAUGCAUUUUUAUUCAAACUAGAAGCAGAAGUAAAUGAGCAGUUAUGAUUGGAAACAGGAUCAAGCUUCUCAAGCAUGUAUAACUCUCCCUUUGUAACUCCUUUUCCAAUCAAUUGGCUGCUCUCAAUAUCCUGAAACUUCACAUCAUUAGGACUGAAUAUAACAUUGCAAUUCAAAUCAGUAGUGCAUUUCUUAACUGAAAGUAGAUUUGAUGUGAAUUCAGGAAUAUAAAAUGCUCUAGUGUUCUUAUCAAAUAGCUUUAGGUUUCCUAUUCCCUUAAUAGGUAUCUUAUCACCAUUUGCAAUCAUCACACAUCCAUUAGUAGGUUCUAUAUCUUUAAUCAGGUUGGUGUCACUAAUCAUAUGAUGAGAUGCACCUGAAUCUAUAAUCAAUGGUUUGUAUGCAUUGCUAGCAUGAUGGCAGAUACAGUUUGAUCUAUAUGCAUUCAUCCUAGCAUUUCUAUCAAUGUACUGCUCAAUUCCAGCCUUACUAUCAGUCCUAGCAAUCUCAGCCUCACCGUGAGUCAUUUCUAUAGUUCUAGCAAUCAAAGAAGCACCAAAUGAAUGCCCAUGAAUGUUACCAUUAUCCUUGAGCAUUUUGAUGAGUGCAUCCAUCUCGGACCUCCUGAUGAAGUCUUGAUCAUUGCCUCGGGGAUUGCUAGCUCCAAUAUAGGUCACCAAAGCUUUUCCAUUUCCUUCUAAGGAAGGAGUAGUUUGGAUAAGGUCUGGUCAUAGCUGGAAAGGUAAAGCACCUUUACAGCCUGUCCAAGCAUGUGAAGCAUCUUUACAGCCUAUCCCUUGACUUCACAUGCUUAUGAUUUCGAAAUCCUCUUUGUAUUAUCCUUAUCUCUUCAUAUAUAACUUGUAUCUGAGACAUUAAAUUAAUCAAUGGAGUUUUGAGUAUUCUCUCUAUUCUCUCUCUACUUAUUCUCUUAAUCUCUUUAAUCUUACACAAAACAAUCUGAUUGUUCUUAAACACACUCUAAUACACAAAAGUGUAUAUGGUAUCAGAGCCAGGUUACUAAAAGGGUGGAAGUGUGUUAUUCAUGUUCUUAAAAAAUCUGGUUUUGUGUUCUUGAGCUGUUCUUGAUGUUCUUGAGUGUUCUUGGUGGUUUUGAGCUCUGUUCUUCAUUUGCUGGGUUUUAUUGAGGACAUCUGAUGGAGUCAAACGUGAGCAGAGAGAUGAAGACAAGAUCAAGUUAUCAAGUGAAGAAAGGGAGAGAAAACAAGUGGAUCUGGUCAGAUUGGGUAGAGACAGCUUUGGAAAGCUGUGGGAUUUGGAGUAAUCAUGUAAAGGAAGAGCCUUUAAAGGUGAGAGCUGCUGAGAAAGAUCAGACAGCAAGUUUGAAGGAGAUUCAAGUAAAGGUAGAACCUUUAAAGGAGGUAGCUGCUGAAGAAGGUCAGACAGCAAGGUUGGAGGGUCAUGAAGCCAAGGGCGUGAUCUAUAGUCUAAGACAAAGGAAGGACGAGUUGUAUCAGCUUGUGGGGAGGCUGAGAGAAGUAGAAUCAGAGUUGGGUAUGGUGAAAACUCAUACAGGAAGGAGGAAGCAAGAUGUGAUCUUUAGCUUUCUUAUGGGAGAGAUAUGUGAGCUUGUUAAAUAUACUUGUGAUGUGUGGGAAAUGAACAGGAAGCCAGAAAGUAUUUGAGCUGGUUGAACACAUUUGUGAUGUGUGGGAGAUAAACAAGAAGCCAGAUAGAUGGAAGAGAGGUACAAGCUGCAAGAAGGGAAAGUUGAGAAAACUUUCUAAGAUGUGGGUCAUGAUGAGCAGAUUAUGGAGGAAGGGUAUCAAGGAGAGUAUGCAAGUAGGAGAGUGUUUCUACUCAGCUUACAUGGGAGAAUCUGUAGAGAGCAGUGGGGUUAUGAGGAAGCUAGAGACCAAAGGAGCAGAUGAGCGAGUCACAAAGGAGGAAUGGGAUGAGUUUGUCAAGUAUGUGUAUGCUUUGGCUACGACCCGGAGACAAGGUGCUCCUGCCAAAGCAUCCACAUCCAACAAACCCAUCAUUGUUGAUUCUGGAGCAAGUCAUCACAUGAUUAGUGAUAGAAGCUUAAUGAGUGAUGUAAAGAAAGCCACUGGGGGUGUGAUGAUAGCUAAUGGUGAUAGGAUUCCAAUAGAAGGAGUUGGAAAGCUCAAGCUAUUUGAUAAAGACUCAGAUGCCUUCUACAUGCCACAGUUUGCUUCAAAUUUGCUAUCUGUGAGGAAAGCCACAAUUGAUCUUGGCUGUCAAGUAGUAUUCAGGCCAGAUGAUGUUGAGUUCCAAGAUUUGAAGACUGGAAGGGUCAUUGGGAGAGGAGUCAGCAAGAAUAAUCUAUAUCAGCUCCAAUUGGCUAAGAUCUCUAAACCCUUUGAUUCUAUGUGUUUGAGUAGUACUUAUGAGAAGAUUGAUAGUAUUACUUGGCAUGCUAGAUUGGGACAUCCUCAUGCUCGUGCUAUUGAAUUGAUAAUUCCUAAUAUGUCAUUUAGACACUUGGAGUGUGAAGCAUGCAUAUUAGGGAAGCAUUGUAGGACUGUUUUUCCAACAUCAGAAACUACUUAUGAGCAUUGCUUUGAUCUAGUUCAUUCAGAUGUGUGGACUGCUCCUUGUUUGUCUAGAGAUAGCCAGAAGUACUUUGUGACAUUCAUUGACGAGAAGUCUAAGUAUACUUGGCUUACAUUGCUUCCAUCUAAAGAUAGGGUGCUAGAAGCAUUUAUGAACUUCCAAGCAUAUGUAUCUAAUCAAUACAAUGCUACUGUGAAGGUACUGAGAUCAGAUAAUGGAGGUGAAUACAUCAGCAAUGCCUUCAAGAGUCAUCUAGCCAAGCAUGGGAUUGUGCAUCAGACUAGCUGCCCUUACACACCACAGCAGAAUGGGGUAGCUGAGAGGAAGAACAUGCACUUGAUGGAGGUUGCUAGAUCAAUGAUGUUUCAUGCAAAUGUCCCAAAACGCUUUUGGAGUGAUGCUGUGCAGACUGCUUGCUAUCUCAUCAACCGGGUUCCAACCAAGAUAUUGAAGAAUCUGUCUCCAUUUGAGGUAUUGAACAAGAGUAAACCUGUCAUUGAUCAUCUACGUGUCUUUGGGUGUGUGUGCUAUGUCAUGGUUCCAGGAGAGCAGAGAAACAAGCUGGAGGCAAAGAGUACUAAGGCUAUGUUCAUUGGUUACUCUAUCACUCAGAAGGGGUACAAGUGCUAUGAUCCUGAAGCAAGGAGAGUGAUGGUAUCUAGAGAAGUGAAGUUUGUUGAAACAAAAGGUUAUUAUGAAGAAAAGGAGUGGGAAAAUCUGAAGGAUUUGUCUCAAGCUCCAUCUGAUAAGGCAACAAUACUGAGAGUGUUGUUAGAGAAGCUUGGGAUAGGAUUAUCCCAGGAUCAGGAAACCGGAAGGAGAGAGUCUUCCAAUCAGAGUGGUGGAGCUGGAAUCAGGAAACCGGAAGGAGAGAGUCUUCCAAUCAGAGAAGAAAAGGAGUGGGAAAAUCUGAAAGAUUUGUCUCAAGCUCCAUCUGAUAAGGCAACAAUACUGAGAGUGUUGUUGGAGAAGCUUGGGAUAGGGUUAUCCCAGGAUCAGGAAGCAGGAAGGAGAGAGCCUUCCAAUCAUACUGGUGGAGCUGGAAGAACAACUCCUCUUGAUCAUGAGAGGGGGAAUGGAACUGAAUCUGGUGAGCAAGAGCAAAACCAAGAGGAUUCAGGUCUUCAUGAUCAAGAUACAUCACAAGAAGUUGAGAACACUGAAUCUGGUGAGCAAGAGCAAAACCAAGAGAAUUCAGGUCUUCAUGAUCAAGAUAUAUCACAAGAAGUUGAGAACAAUGUUCAGUCUAGUGGAGAAGUGGAUGAGGUUCAGUCUAGUGUAGAAGAACAACUCAGACCGGCCAGUUCAGAAGAAGAGCAAGUGGAGCCGGCUAGUGUGCAAACUGAAGAUCAGGUUCAAGCUUUGAGGAGGAGCACAAGGAUAAAGAGGGAUCCUUCCAACUGGGUAAACACGAGAGUGUACUACAAUGCCCAGGCUGUGGAGCAUCCUUCUCAAGCCGUGUGUUCCUUUGCUGAGUUUCCAGAGGAGCAUUAUGCCUUUAUGAUUAGUCUGGAUGAGAGUUAUGUACCAAGAACUUAUGAAGAAGCUAUGUUAGACAAGGAAUGGAAAGAAUCAGUGGGAGCUGAAGCAGGUGCUAUGAUCAAAAAUGAUACAUGGUAUGAGAGUGAGCUGCCUAAGGGAAAGAAAGCUGUAUCUAGUAGAUGGAUCUUCACAAUCAAGUAUCUUGCAAAUGGACAGAUUGAUAGGAAGAAGACCAGAUUGGUUGCAAGAGGAUUUACACAGACCUAUGGAGAGGAUUACAUUGAUACCUUUGCACCAGUAGCUAAGCUACAUACAGUUCGGAUUGUGUUGUCCAUUGCAACAAACUUGGAGUGGGAUUUGUGGCAGAUGGAUGUGAAGAAUGCUUUCUUACAAGGUGAGCUAGAAGAUGAGGUAUACAUGCUUCCUCCUCCUGGUCUUGAGCAUCUAGUAAAACCAGGGAAUGUUUUGAGAUUGAAGAAGGCAAUAUAUGGGCUUAAGCAGUCUCCUAGAGCUUGGUACAGGAAGCUGAGUACAACUCUCAAUGGGAGAGGAUUCAGGAAGUCUGAACUUGAUCAUACACUCUUCACUUUGGUUACUCCAUCAGGGAUCAUUGUGAUACUGGUAUAUGUGGAUGAUUUGAUUAUCACAGGGAGUGAUAAGGCUGGGAUUAAAGCCACUAAAGAGUUCCUCAAGUCUGUGUUUGAUAUCAAAGACUUGGGAGAGAUGAAGUAUUUCUUGGGGAUUGAGAUAUGCAGAUCCAAGGAGGGUUUGUUUAUGUGUCAAAGGAAGUAUACAAUGGAUAUGCUGAAGGAGUCUGAUGUACUUGGAGGAAAGGUAGCCAAGACACCUCUUGAAGAGGGGUAUAAGGUCUUACGUGAGGGGUAGGUUGAAGAGAACCAGUUGUUUGAGGAUGCUAAGCUGUAUAGGAAGAUGGUUGGCAAGCUGAUCUACUUGACUAUUACCAGGCCAGAUAUAUGCUUUGCUGUGAAUCAAGUGAGUCAACAUUUGCAGGCGCCAAAGGUCCAUCACUGGAAGAUGGUUGAUAGGAUACUGAGGUAUCUGAGUGGGACGGCUGGACAAGGAGUUUGGAUGGGCUGUAAUGGCAGUACAGAAGUGGUUGGGUAUUGUGAUGCUGAUUGGGCAGGAGAUAGAGUGGACAGGAGAUCAACUACUGGGUAUUGUACAUUCAUUGGAGGGAACUUGGUUACUUGGAAGAGUAAGAAGCAGAAGGUUAUCUCUUGUUCAAGUGGUGAAGCUGAGUAUAGAGCCAUGUUGAAGCUGACAAACGAGUUGGUGUGGAUUAAGGGGAUCUUGAAGCAUCUAGAGAUUGAGCAGAGCACUCCUAUGACUAUGCAUUGUGACAAUCAAGCAGCUAUCCACAUUGCUUCCAACUCAGUGUUUCAUGAGAGAACAAAGCACAUAGAGGUGGAUUGUCAUAAGGUGAGACAGAUGAUUAUCUUAGGAGUGAUUCUACCAUGUUAUACAAGAAGUGAAGAUCAGCUUGCAGAUGUGUUUACCAAGGCAGCGAGAUUGAAGACAAUGGAGUCCAUACUAUCCAGGCUUGGACUCAUUGAUCUUACUCCCAGGAGCUGAACCCCUUAACCAUGGAGUCUCCACUCUUUUUCCCUCAUCAAAGUUUUAUCCCAAUGGGUUUUCUUUGGUGAGGUUUUUAAUGAGGGAGGUCUUCAUGGUUUCCAAGCUUGACUUGUUCCACAUGGUCAAGCUUGAGGGGGAGUGUUGAGAUGAGGUAAUAAAGAGUGAAUACAUUGAUAGAGAAAGAGGAUUGAGACAUACAGUAACUUUGGAGUUUUACCACAGUAACUUUGUUUUACUGUGGUAACUAAGUAAAAGCUUGGAAACUUACCUUGCUUCACCUUGGAGAGUUAGCCACGACCAAGGAGCUUCUGGAUAAGGAAGGGGCAGUCUGGAUAAGGUUUCCUCACAGCUAGAGAGGCUGGAGACAGGCUGUAAAGUAGACAGCAUCUAGUAAAAGAUGCCAAAGGGAUCAAGCAUGUGAAGACUCCCAUUGGCUGCUUUUGGAUAGCUCUCUUUGACUACACAUGCUCUGAAUCUCUACCCUAUCAGAUACAUUUCGAAAAUGGAUUGUCUCACUCAUAUAAAUAUGUUGUAAACCUCAUCUUUAAUAAUUAAUGGAGUUUUGAGUAUUCUCUCUAUUCUCUCUCUACUUAUUCUCUUAAUCUCUUUAAUCUUACACAAAACAAUCUGAUUGUUCUUAAACACACUCUAAUACACAAAAGUGUUUACUUCUUGUAGCCAUCUGUCUUCAGAGACCGGUUUGGAACUUGCUUCACCUUCAGCUUGGGUGGCGACAGCUUUGGAGUGGUUUGGAACAUCUGAGAUGCAAUGGCUCCAUAAACCCUUUCCUCCUAUGGCUGUCUUGGCUAGGCGUGACCAGAGAAGGUAGUUGGGGCCUUUGAGAGUGACUGGGAUGACAAUGGCUCUUUUGGACUCCAUCUUGAGGCUGGAAAGAGCAAAACUGUCAAGGAACUUCUUCAAAGGCUGGCGCUUGGGAGCUGAGUGAACUGAGCUGAACUGGCGUGGGCUGGAGCUUGUGUUUGUUGCGGAAGCUUCUACCAGGAGUCUGAGCAACCUGGCUCUGAUACCAUGUGAGAUUUUCAGAGUACAAGUGCUUGAGUGAUGUAAGAACAGAUGAGAGAUUUGUGUAUGAUGAAGUAUGAAGAAUAGAAAUGAGUUUAAGAGAAUCAGAGAGAGUAUGGGAGAGACUAAGAGAUUAGGAACGUGUAUGGGAGAUUAGAGAGACUUAGUAACCAGAGAAUAAGAUCCAAGAACAAGUUUAUGAAGAAGAGAGACUCUCUCAGCUUAAAAGUUACAAAAUGAUCCUAAGAGGCUUAUUUAUGCCUUUACACAACUCAGAUCAUAAACCUAGAUCCUAAGACUGUAAAUUAAAGAUAAAUGGAUGGUUAGGAUGAGAGAAGACUGGUCUUGAUGUGGCUGGAGCUAGCUGGCGACUUUGACUCAAGGUAAAGGGCUUAGAUUGCUUCAUUUGAAUUGGAUGGAUAAGAUGAGUCAAGGCUGUAAAGGUAAAGCACCUUUCCCUUUCCAGCUCAUACCAACAGCUCACCUUAUCCAUUUGAAUCUUCCCUUCCCUCCAAGUAUCCCAAACGGUCACAUAAGAUCAGAUUGAACCGCCCACACAUUGCACAUCUUGAUUUGGGCUGAACCGGAUGACUUGGGCGUGUGGAGUGGCCGUACGGUUGAUGGUACGGACCCCCUGUCCGUACCACUAUCCCUAACUAUGCACAAUGCCUUAUCUCCUUCUUGACUGACCCCAAACACCUUCAUGAUUCACCCUAGACCGUACAAGGCCGUACCAUUCGCCCUAGCUUUGCACCUAUGGCCAUCUUCUCUCUAACUCCUCCAAACCCUUAACAUGAUCAGUCUAAGUCUUUCCUAGACUUAACUUCUCAAGAUAACUACUUCAGAACACUUCUGAAGCUUGAUUGAACUCUUCUGGACAUUUUCUAGAGCUUGCCCUAUUAUUGUACAAGCUCUAUCUUCUCUUCAGUUCAACACUUCGUGCCAACUCCUAUGAGAUUUAUUAAACUUCCUGGUGAUUCUCCUCCACUUUAUGUAUCCAAAUCAAGCUUCUUACAAAGUGAUUCAUCCUGGUUUGAUUAGAACGACGAAGAAGCUGUGCUAUUCCCAAACUGGGAAACUGGAAUCACCUGAUUUGAAAGUGGGAUAACUUCUUCUGCAAGGGAAAAAGAGUAGAGCUCUCCAAAGCCUAGGGAUUGGCCAGUGAGCCCUUGUGCCUUAGAACCAGUGUGGUUGGACACAAGAAGCUCUGGAUCACGGCCUAAUAGGUGCAGCAACUCUUCACAGCUUUGCGCACACUUCACACUUCAGCUUCACCUCUUCUUGGAACCGAUUUGAAGUCUCCCCCCUCUCAACUGACUUCUCAGCCAUCUUAGAGAAGCUAGGACACGACCAGAUCAUCUUUAAAACACCAGUGAGCCUGAUCAACACUUCACACACUGCUUGCCCUCCUCAUAGACCUGGUUUGGAUCUCCCCCUCUCAACAGACUUCACAGCCACCUUAG